Molecule: long non-coding RNA, 67547 nt
Filed under: Populus tremula
Lineage: Eukaryota; Viridiplantae; Streptophyta; Magnoliopsida; Malpighiales; Salicaceae
Description: long non-coding RNA (PTRE_LNC003406)
Source: RNAcentral
CAGGAGGCAGCCAAGAAGGACUUCAUUGACAGCCUCAAGUUGAUGGAAGGAGAGCUCGGAGACAAACCUUACUUUGGGGGCGAGACCAUCGGCUACGUUGAUAUAGCACUUGUUCCUUUCUAUUCCUGGUUUUAUGCCUAUGAGACCAUCGGAAACUUCAACAUAGAAGCCGAGUGUCCGAAGCUGAUUGCUUACUGUAAGAGGUGCUUGCAGAAAGAGACUGUAUCCAAGGCUCUUGAAGAUCCACAAAAGGUCUAUGAUUUCGUUCUGAUGCUGAUGAAGACGUUUGGUCUUUAGUAGAAGAAAGAACAACAUGCAGAGGCAUGUUCCCUUUCCUGUUAAGAAGUUGUUCUUGUGUUCUGAGUGAUUUAUGUUUUAAAUAAGGAGGGCAGACAGUUGUGCCUGCCUUGUGUUUCUGGUCUGAGAGGGCACUUAGCUGUGCCUGCCUCGUGCUUAUAGUCUGAGAGGGCACCUCGUCGUGCCUGACUUGGGAUGUGGUUUUCUCCCUGUAAAGUUGAACUUAAGUCGGUGAUUAUGCUAUAAUAUGUAUUAAUUAAUGAAACUUGUGUCAAGAACUGGUUGGCGGUGAACAACUUCCUGCAACUUUUAUUCUUUUUCUCCAAGCUGCAUUCAUGAUCACUGAUCAUCCUGCAAAGGAGCUGCAGGCUGUGACUCAUCAGGCCUUGUGUAUUUUGGUCAAAGGUCCAUUGACUUGGGCUGCCUGCCAAUGCUGCACAUGCUAGCAAGUUUUGAGCAUCUGGUAUUGUGGCUGCAGGUAAUCCUCACCUGCAGCCACAAAUAUUGUUAUUAGAUAAUGCUUUAAAAACAAUUUUUUACUAGUAGGGUCCUCUACCAAUCAUGACCGUGCCACAGGUUUACAAGAAGCUUUGUUGUUUUUUGUGCUGUGAAAAUUUAGUGGGUUCCACUGUUCAUGGUUUUUUCGAUGAAAAUUAGAGUAUAUUUUUACUGUUUUGGCCAACCAGUAUUCAAAACUAAAAAUACAUUACACUAGAAAGUUUUGGAUAUUCAAUGAAUAUUUAUUAUGUAUUAUUAUUUAUUAAUCAAUACAAACAAAAUAGUAAUUAUAUAUAUUUGAAGCAUGUAUACAUAUAUUAAAUGAUAAAAUAAUAAAUAUUAUUCAUAUAUAUAUAUAUUAUGCCAAUAUUAAAGUGUGUAUAUAUUAUAUUAAAAAAAUUAAAUAUUCUGCCACCAUAUUUAUAUAAUUUAAAUAUAUGAUUAAAAAAUUAAGUUGAGACGAAUUUUAAAUUGUGUUUUAUAAUAUUCUAUCUUAUUUAUUAUUUAUUAAAUCUAGAAAAUAUCCAUCAAUUUCAUAUAAAUAUUCAUCUAUUUUAUUAUAUUAAAUCAUAAUUUUUAAACCCAGCUCGGUCCAAGGCCUGAGUUUUGACUGGGUUAUUGAGUUGCUCGCGUCAAUUUUUUUUUAAAUCAAACCGGCAUUAUUUUGAUAAAAAAAAAAUUCAACGGAUUGCAAUCCGGUUUUUAACUGGAUCUUGCUAGGUUAACCUGCCAGAUCAUACCGAGUUUUUUUUUUUCAAUCCAAUCCAAUUUUUAUUCUGGAUAUGCUAGGUUCGACCCGCCAAACCAGAACGGAUUUCACAAUAAUAGAUUAAAUUAUCUUCCAUGUCCAGAAAAACUGAUAAAUGUCCCUAACAUUCUAUCCCGAACGCUACAACCAUAGACAGCUCGAAAAAAAAAACCAACAAUGUAGUGCGUGGCAACCCAGAAGCCGCUCAAUCAACGAGUGUCAAUCAAUCCACCACGUUGAUCUUUGGCAAACUUUAAUUAUACCUAUUCAUUUGAUUGUUAUUAAAUCCGGUGUAAUAGCUUAAUUUAAGAAACCGAAACUUAAUUUAUAUUGGGUUUUAAAAUACACCGAAAAAAGGGGUUAAUUUAAUGAUUCCUAAAUUAAUCUAAUAAUUUAGUAACUUAGAUUUAUUUUUAAAUUACCAAAAGCUAAAACACGAAACCAAAAAAAAGAAAAAAGAAAAAACUGUAAACCGUAAGUUUAAAACAUUAUUCACAUAAAUAAUGUUUUCACGGUAUUAGCCUUCCCUCUAAAAAGCUUUAAACUAGUCAUAAGAAUUAAUUUUUUUUGCAAUACUUAUUAAUCAUUAUCAAAUUAAUCAGGAAUAAAAAUAACUUUUUUUCAUUUAAAAAAACACAAUAAAAUGAUCAAAAUACUUUUAAAAAUAAAAAAAAUUAAAAUUAUUGUCAAGGAGUUUUUUAUUUUAUCUUUUCACCAUGUUUUUUUUUUUUGUAUUAUCAGGUCAUAUUAGAGGCAAUCUGGUAUUUAAAUAAAUAUUAAAAAAAUUGUUGGCUCGCGUGGCGCUUUUUGGAAGCCAAAAUCCUACUUUUACUGAUUGAUUGAAAGUGUCGUUGUAUCCUCUUUCUUCUGAAGCAGCACAUAUGGUCAUUGGUAGCAUAGUUUGUCAUCGACACUUUUUUUUUCUUUUUUUUUUCUUUUUUCUCUCUUCUACGGUCAAAGUUUGCGAUGGUCAUGCAAAGUUUUAGAGUUGUCCUCUAAUUUAUGAGGAUUUCCACUUCAAUUCUUAUUCUUUUGAUUUUUAAUUUUUGUUUUUGGUCUUUUAAAAAAAAAUUGAUUUGUUUUCAAUUUCAUUCUUUAAUAAAAUUUAUUGUGUUUCAAUUUGAUCCUUAUUCUUUUAAUUGCUAUUUUUUUAAUCUUUUUGUAUAAUUAAAAUUAUAUUUUUGAAUGUUAUCAUUCAUAAUUUGAUUGGUUGAAAAUUAAAUUUCUUGGUUUUUACCAGAUUUGCUGUUUUCGGUAUAAUAUUUUGGUCAUAAAUUUGAAAAGUUAAUAUGGUUUAAUAUUUUCUUUUAAAAAAUUAAGAUUUGUGAUUUUUUUUAUUAAAUUAUCUUGAUCUCAUAAUUUAGAUUAUAAGUUUGAUGAGAUAAUCCAAGAAAGAUCAUUGCAUGAAUGUUAUUCUAAAGACAAGAAAUAGAAUCCUAGGAAAGGACUAGACUUGACAAAUGUUUGAUAAAUUUGAACCAGAUUAAGAGCCUGCUUGGGAUUUGGUUAUAAGUUGAGCUAAUAUACACAAUGGAGAACAAAGUUUGAUUAAGUAAAAGGAAGAUUAGAAUACAUAAUAGAAACAGUUCAGAGUUGUCAAAAGAAACAAAUACGAUAUGUGAAGAAAUGAAAAAGAGGACUUGAAGUCACAUAUCCUUAGAAUAAAAAAGAAUAAAGAAGAUGGGUGAUUACCAUACAAUUUACUAUAUAUUUUUCUAUUUAAAAAAAAUGGAAGAAAAGAAAACACAUAACAACAACUUAACAAAUCAACAUCAAAUGCAUUAUAGUUUGAUUAAGUUUGUAAUAACUUCAAAACCUAUUUACUAGUAGAUAGUUACUAGCAGGCAGUAAAUAAUAGGUAGUAAUUUGUAUGCAAGUAACCAAUAGACAAUAAAUAAAAGGCUUGUAAUCCAAUUUUUAUUAUCAAAAGAAAACAAGAAAACAACAAAAAUAUAACUUCAUAUUCUUUUAUCAAGACAUUCAAGUAUGUGGUUAUAAUUAAAAUAAAGAUCAUCCAAUGAAUCUAAAUCUUAUAAUUUUUAAAUAUUAAAUUUUUUAUUUACAUUCAAUAUGUUAAAUUAAUAUUUAAUUACUUCUUGAGUAUUAAAUUAUAUUUGAGCAUUAUUAUAAAUCUAGGUUCGUCGUGAGAUCUAAAAUUUUAAGUUUUUAUUUGCGCUAUAAAAUUGAUGAGACAAACACAAAAUAAAAUCUUAUUUUUAUCUUUCUUGUGCAUUGUAUAACAAUCAUUAUCAAAUUAAAUAGACGUUGUUUGAAUAAAAAGUUCUUUUCAAAAAAAAAAAAACAUCAAAUCAAAGUUUUGGAACCACUUCAAUUGAUUUUUAAGAUCCAGGGUCAUUUUCAUUUAACAUCGUAAAAUUUAAAUAAUUUUAAUUACAAAGGUUUUUUAAUUAAAAUUUAAUUGAUGGUUUCGUAUUUCCUUGAUUGAAUCAAAUUUUAAUUAUAUAAGUUGUGCCUUAAUAAAUAAAUAAAAGAAAUAUGAGGUUCUGGUUGUUAAUUAACAAAACGUUCAACUCUCAAGGAGUGAAUUGUAAUUUAUCCUAUGCCUUCUAUUCAUUAUACAUUAUUUAUUAUACAAUAAACAUAAAAGAAAGCGUAAUUUCACGUUAUUGUUUACUCUAUAAACAUUAAAAUAAUAUUUCAUUUUCUUAAUAUGAUAUUAAAUGUGUGUAUAUUUGCAUGUUGAAAAGGAAAAAGUUGAUAUGGAUUUUAAAAAAAAUACUUCCAAAAUAAUCCUAAUAUAUUAUACUUGAAAUUUAACCUCUUAGGUGGUAAACUUAGUUUCAUUUUAGUUCUUGUUUGUUUGCGGGAAAAUAUUUUUUUUUGAAAAGUGAUUUAAUGAAAAAUAAAUUAGUUUUGGAUGUUUGGUAGUUUUAUAAAAAAGAAGUUGGAAAAUACUUUCUAGUAUUUGGUUAUGUCAUGAAAAAUAAGUUAGAAAAUAACUUAUUAAUUUUUUUUUUUCAAAUUUACUAAAAUAAUGAGAAACAAAUCUUACAAAUUAAAAAAUUGAAUGUGAAUAAAAUUGAAAGAAAAAUCUAAUUUCAUAAAUUAUCUUAAAUAAAAUAAAUAACAAUCAAAAUAAUUGAAAUUAAAUCUAACAAAUAAAAAAGUCGAAAGACGAUGAAAUUAAAAUAAUAAUAAUUAUUAUAAUUUUAUAAAUGAUUUAAAAUUAAAUAAAUAUAAAAAGAAUAAGAAUAAGAAAAAAUUUUGAUAGAUAAAAAAUUUCAAUUAAAAAAAUAUUAAGAGAAAAGUAAAUAACAAUCAUAAAAAUGAAAACUAAAGUUAAUAUAAAAAUCAGAUUAAAUCAAAUUUUAAGGGAUGAAAUUGAAAAAAUAUAUUAAAAAAAUAUAUAUAGCAAUCAAAAGUUUGAGAAUCAAAUUUGAUAUAAUUAACAAAUAAUAUGAUAUUUUUAAUUUUUUCACAACUUCUGGAAAAUAUUUUCUGCCCAAAAUAAAAAAAUUAUUUUUUGAAAAACCAAGUUAAAUUAUUUUAACUAAACAAUAUUUUUCAUUAAUUAAUUUUUUUAAUAAUAAACAAACAUAAAAAAAUAUAAAAAAUAAUUUUCAAAAACUCACUUUACACAAACCGGCCUUGAUAACUGGGUGGAAUACUUUCGGUCGUGAAUGUCUUUUCAUGCUACGAAACAUUAUUCUAAAUAUAAAUAUUUUUGCUCACUUAUUUACUAAUAUCCUUGAUUAGCCUAUAGCUUGGCAACUUAUUCCACGAUUUAUCACAACCACAUACACUCUGCAGAUGAAGAUAGCAAGUCUGAUAUAAAGUCUUGCUUUCUACUUUUUAUGAUCUUAAUUGCCAUAUUUUUUUUCACUUCAACCAUGGCUGAUGAGGUGACACUGUUCAAUUUCUGGGCAAGUAUGAGUGCAGUGAACAGGACUUGAGCAACGGAAAGAGUGAUUUGCUUCUGCAGAUGAACCCAGUCUACAAGAAGAUUGCAGUUCUCGUCCACAGAGGAAAACCAGUUUGUGAAUCCCAUAUUAUUGUUCAGUAUAUUGAUGAUGUGUGGAGGGACAAGGCUCCUUUGCUGCCUUCUGAUCCUUAUGAAAGAGCUCAGUCCAUGUUCUUGGCUGAUUUUAUUGAUAAAAGGGUAUGGAGAUAUGCCUUUAAUCUUGCUAAAUCUCGGGCCCCCCUUCGAUACAUGCAUCCAUGCUUGCGUGAGGACAAAUAUAUAUUCCUUUGCUACUGCUAUGUUACAGUAAUAUCAAUUAGGUGCUGUAAAAAUGAAUUCCCAGAUAUUAUUUCAAAAUGUUUUUAUGCUAUAUUCACAGCACUUCUUGUUAUUUUCCUUGUUGUUUUUGCAUCCAUGUAAAAGGAAUUAAAGAAUGGCCAAACAAAUGAAAAUUGCAACUGGAGUCUCCUCUGUACCACCCGACAAUGCCAAGCUUUCUGGGCAGAAGCAGCUGUAAAGUCUAAGAACUUUUAGUUUUUUUGUCAGAGUAAAAAGAACACAAGAUAUUAGUUUCAAAGCUUUAAUUUCAUGGGAAGCACAUUAAUUAUCAUAGGCUUCGUUAUGCUACACAGUGUAAACUGUAAACUGUGCUUCGUGUGAAUUAAAAAAUAUAUUAGUUCUAAAGCUUUUUCAUGCGAAGAACCAUUUGCAUCACAGAAGCACUGCGUAGUACUGUUCUCCACUAGCAAUCUGGUCUUGGUUUAAGAAAAGACCAUCAACAAAUAGAGAAUUGAAAAUCUGCAUUUUAUUUAUGCUUUAAUAAAACUAAGGCUCCGUUUGUUUGCAGGAAAGUGAAUUCCGGAGAAAAUAUUUUCUGAUGUUUGGUAGUGUUAUGGAAAAUGAACUGGAAAACAUUUUCCAGUGUUUGGUUAUGUCAUGGAAAAUGAGCUGGAAAAUAACUUAUUAAUAUUUUAUUUUUCUCAAGUUUAUUAAAAUAAUGAGGAAUAAAUCUUACAAAUUAAAAAGUUGAAUGAGAAUGAAAUUGAAAAAAAAAAAUAUAUAAUUUCAUAAAUUAUCUCAAAUAAAACAAAUAAUAAUCAAAAUAAUAGGGAUCAAAUCUAAAAAAUUAAAAAAAAAUGAAAAAUGAAGAAAUUAAAAUAAUAAUAAUCAACAUUUCAUAAAUUAUUUCAAAUAAAAUAAGUAACAAUCAAAAAGAAUGAGGAUCAAAUUUGAUAAAUAAAAAAUUUCAAUAAAAAAAUGAUAAGAAAAAAGCAAAUAGCAAUUAUAAAAAUAAGGGCCAAAGUUAAUAUAAAAAUAAAAUUUUAAGAGAUGAAAUUGAAAAAUAAAUAUUUAAAACAAAAUAUAUGUAGCAAUCAAAAGUUUGAGGAUCAAAUUUGAUAUAAUCAGCAAAUAAUGACAUUUCUAAAAUUUUCAUAACUUCCGGAAAGUGUUUUCCCCCUUAAAUUUUUCAGGAAAACACUUUCCUGAAAACCAAGCCAAAUUUUCCUUUUACUGGAAAGUGUUUUCUAUUGACCAACUUUCCUACUGGCAAACAAACACAAGAAAGUUUGGAAAGUGCUUUCCCGGAAACCACUUUCCGGAAAACAAACACAGCUAAAAGGAAAACACUUUCCUGAAAACCAAGUCAAUUUUUUUUUUGACUAAAAUUGAUUGGAAAGUGUUUUCCGUUGACCGGAAAGUGUUUUCUGUUAACUAGAAAGUGUUUUUCGCUGACCGGAAAUUAUUUUUCGUUGACCAACUUUCCUAAUAACAAACAAACACAGAAAAAUUUAAAAAAUAGUUUUUCAAAAACUACUUUUCAAAAACAAACAAGGCAUAAGCCACUCUGAAUUCCAACCCUUCCAUCUGCAUUCUCCUGUCUUAUCAAUGGAAGGAGUCUCCACCUUCCUAGGCAUACCCCACCCAAAGAAACCGUAGCCGUAAACUCUGCAAGCACUUCUUUGGCUUCAUCAAGAACAAUAAUUUGAUGUUCAAAAAUGAUUGCAAGUUUUUUUUUAAAAAAACGUUUCGAGCCCUGAUUUGGUUGUUUCCACAUUCGAGCUUCCCGUCACUCUGACACAUGGACCCAUGGCAAAAACAAAUCGUGUAUAAAUUGACUUGAAAUUACCAAAGUUAUCCUUAGUUUUCUUUGGGCAAAACCUGAUAAAGUUUCAAAUCUAAGGACACAACCUCGAUUAGGUUUCCAAUAUUUUCAUUUUCUCAAUUUGGUUUCAAAUAUAUCUAUAAAUUUUUAAUUUGAAUAAAUUGAAGUAGAUUGAAAACAAAAUUUAUAUAUUAAAUAAUUGAUUAAUUUUAUUAUUUAGAUAAUCUAAUUCAUUCCCUCUAACUAAGAUAAUUGGUAAUAAAGAUCUAGUAUCCGCAAAAAAGUUUUUUUAGUGAAUUAAUGAAUUUUUUUAUGCUUAAAUUAAAAAAAAUUACCAUGAUAUUUUAAAAAAAACCUCAAAAAAUAUUUAUAUACAUUGGACUUUGCAUUUGGUUUAGUCUAAAAAAAUUGAGUUUAAUAAAUCAUCAGACCAAUAUAUAAUUAGAUUUAAUGCUUGAAAGCUUGGAAGAACUGGUAUGAUAAAUUGUUAUACUCUUUUCAUGUAGAAAGUAUUUUUAAAUUGUGAACCCUAAAUAUAAGGAAAGGAAAUUAAGAAAGUAGAUGUUUUUUUAUAGGAAAGAGAAAUCACCAGUUUCAUGAAAUGAAUAUUAAAUAGUUUUAUUAACUAGAAAAUGAUGAAAGGAUAUAAUUUAGAAUCCAUUGAUAUAUAUGUUGAAAAACUAAUUUAGAUGAGAAAUAGAUUGGAUAUCUAAUUAAGAUUUUUCAUAUAAGUUAGGGAUUUAAUUUACAAGGUUUGCACUCUCCCUUAUAUAUGCUCUUAACCAAUUUACCAACAUAAUAAUUUCAAUUUCUUUUGAUAUAUAUUUUUGAACUAAAAGUAUAAAAAGAUUAAAUACAAUCCUAAUCAAAGAUAGUUUGUUGGCAAGAUUAUUGCUUUAAAUAAUAAUAAUACUAAUAAUAAAAUCACAUAAGAAAUACUCUCGUUAUCAUAUAUAUUUUAUUUUCUCAACACAAUCCCCUUAAUAAAAUUGAUCGUACAUAAUAUGAUUUCCGGUUAUAAUUUCUCAAAUUUAUGAAUAAUUAUCUCAUUUUGUCAGGGGUAAUUAACUCUGAGAUUUCCUUGUCUAUUUUUCAGGAAUCAUUGACUGGAUGGCGUGAUUUAGUUGAAGACGUAGAAAGGAACAAACAUGAAACUGUGAUAUGGUAUCUAAUUGCCCCCUGGGCAGUACGAGCACAGCACAUUUUCCACUUCUUUAUUUCUACCACAUCUUUCUGCAAGGAUGGAUAUGCUAUAAAGAUUUCUACUCUCCACUGUCAAGAGCACAGCCAUUCUGAAAGGCGAGAAAGAACUAUCUGUGGUUCAGUUUUACUCCUUUUCACAACAACAAUGGCUGAUAAGGUGACACUAGCGCUGGAACAUUUUGCAGGCUCCCCUUUUGGUGUAAGAGUGAGAAUAGCAUUGGCAGAGAAGGGAGUCAAGUAUGAGUACUGUGAUGAGAACUCGAGGGUCGAUAGUGCAUGGCUUCUUGAUCUGAACCCAGUCUACAAGAAGCGCCCACUUCUCAUCCACAAUGGAAAAGCUGUCUGUGAUUCCCUGAUUAUUGUUCAGUACGUUGACGAAGCAUGGAAGGGAAAGGCCCCUCUUCUGCCUUCCGAUCCUUACCAGAGAGCCCAGUCCAGAUUCUGAUUUUAUUGACAAGAAGGUACGUACGUAUGCAUGGGAACUGGACUUUGCAAGGUCUUUUGUUCUAGGUGCUGUUUAGUCCGCUUUACAAUAUACUGUGCUAUGAAUCUUAUUUCAGGUAUAUGAGAUACUUGGAAGAUAUGGACAACGAAUGGAAAAGAACUGGAGGAGCAAAAAAGGAUUUUAUCGAGUGCCUCAAGCUGCUGGAAGAGAGCUCGGAGACAAGCCUUAUUACGGCGGAGAGAAGCUUGGGUAUGUGGAUGUGGCGUUCGUUCCUUUCUACUGCUGGUUUUAUGCCUAUGAGAAAUGUGGAAAAUUCAACAUAGAGGCAGAGUGCCCCAAGAUCAUUGCAUGGGCUAAGAGAUGCAUGCAAAAGAAGAGUGUAUCCAAGUCUCUUGAAGACCCAAAAAAGGUGUACGAGCACGUCUUGGAGCGCAGGAAGACGCUUCGGGUGGAUUAAGAGGAAACACAAAUGCAUCCCUGAGCAGACGAUCAGUAUGAUUUCCUCAUGGUGGAGUUGUUUUUCUUUCGAAUAAAGCGAGCUCUUCGUGGCUGUGCCUUCUCUUCUGUUGUUUCUAUUGUGAUGCUGGAGCAUAGGAGCACAUCGUUGUGACUCGGCCUGGCAGCGUUUGUGUUGUUUUCGGCUCUUUGCCCUGUCUUGUUGUACUGUUUUCACUAUUUAUUAAAAUAAUGUGUUGUGAUUAUUUUACUGGUAGAUGAUUAUGAUAUCUUUAGAACACGGUUGUUUCAUUAAAAUUUUUUUUAAAAAAUUAUUUAAAUUUUACUUUUUUAUAUUUUUAGAUUAUUUUAAUAUAUUAGUAUUAAAAAUAAUAUUUAAAAAUUACUAUUACUGUAUUUUUAAAUGCACUCUAUAACAAAAGAGAUGCCCUCUCAAGCAAUUCAACACCCCCCAUAACUUUUUUUUAAUAAAUAGGAAAGACAGGACAAGUACACAAUGGUAAUCAAUUACUAAUUCUAUCCAAUUAAUUUUGCCUUUUCAAAUGAAAAUUUUUAAUUUUUUUAAGUUUUUAAUUAAUUUUUUUAUGUUUAUAAAUUGUUUAACCAUACUAAUAUUAAAGAUAAAAUUUAAAUUAUAAAAUAAAAAUAUUAUUUAUAUAAUUUUAAAUAAAUAAUAUUUAUCACAUGAGUAAUAGUUUUGAUAACUUUCGGUGAGAUGUGAUAAUUGAGUUGAGAAUAUUAAUUAUAACUUGAUUAAAUAUAUUAUAUUUUUUAAUAUAUUUUUUUUUAUGUAAUUUUACUAGAAAUUUAGUUUUACUGCUCAGGUGUUGCUCUUCAUAAAUUUAAGAAUUUUUAAAUAUAAAGAUCAUCCAAUGAAAUAUCGUAAUUUUUAAAUAUUAAAUUUUUUUUUUUACAUUAAUUUCGUAUGUUAAAUUAAUAUUUAAUUACUUUUUGAGUAUUGAAUUAUAUUGUAACAUUAUUAUAAAUCUAGAUUCGUGGUGAAAAUCUAAAAUUUUAAUUUUUUUAUGUAUGUUAUAAAAUCCUCUUAUAAAUUAGACAAACACAAAAUAAAACCUUAUUUUUAUCAUCUUUGAACACUGGAUAACAAUCAUUAUUAAAUCAACUAGACGUAUCUUAAUUUAAGACAAGUUUUAAGGAGGGAGUUAGAGAUUUUUAUUUUUAUUUUUUCCUAGAGCCCAUUGAGGAUUGGAGGAUAAUUAGAGAUAAACUAGAUGCCAUGCCUGUGUGAUGUUACGGGUUUGUGAUAUUUCUGUGUGUUGUUAUGGGUUUGUGUAAAAAAUAAAAAAAAUAUUAUAUGGAGAAAAACUAUUGCAAUCUAUAAUGUUUUUAAAGAAAAAAUUACAAAAAAAUUCUUAACUAGAUUAAUAUUUAAAAAGUAAAAUGAACAAAGAAAUUUUUUUAAAAAAUCAUAACAAAAAAACCUAAAGGAAAAAAAAUCAUCAUGCAGGAAAACGUUAUAGCAAUUUAUAGUGUUUCAUGAGAAAAUCUACAAUUGUAAUUCUCAACCAGCUCAAUAUUAAAAAUAAUAAAAUUAAUAAAGAUAAUUUUAAAAAAAUCAUAAUAAAAAAAAUUAUGUGGAGAAACAUUGUCGCAAUUCACAGUGGUUUAAAGAAAAAAAAACUAUAAAACUAAAUUCUUAACUAGCUCAAUGUGAAAAACAUAAUUGACAAAGACAAUUCUGGAAAAAAAAACCAUAUGUAGGAACACUAUAGCAAUCCAUGGUGUUCGGAAAGAAAGAAAGAAAAAAGCAUGUAAAGCCAAAAAUAGGGGGAAAAAGAAAAACUACAAAACUAAAAUUUCAACCAGUUUCAUAUUAAAAAAAUAAAAACAAUUCUGAAAAGAAAACAUUAAAAAAAUUGAAAAGAAAAACAUUUUGGGAAAAAAGAAAGAAAAAAAAAUGAAAAAAAAAACAUGUGGAGAAAUCUACAGUUGUAAUUAUCAACCAACUCAAUAUUAAAAACAAUUCGACAAAAAUAAUUUUGAAAAAAAAACAUAUAGGAAACACUGUAGAAAAACAAAAACUAUGUAGAGAAAUAUUGUAACAAUCCAGUGUUUUAAAGAAAAAAACUACGACACAAAAUCAACAAAAAUCAUUUUGAAAAAAAAAAUCAUGUAAAUAACCGUUGUAGUAAUUCAUAAUAUUUUAAAUAAAAAAAACUUUAAAACUAAAUUUUUAACUAGUUUAAUAUUAAAAAAAAUCGAUAAAAAUAACUAUGGUUGAAUGCUUUUGGUCGUGAAUAUCUUUUCAUGCUCUGAAACAUUAUUCUAAAUAUACUGUUUGCUUACUUUUUUAUUAAUAUCAUUGAUUAGCCUAUAGCUUAGUAACUUUUUCCACGAUUUAUCACAACCGCAUACACUCUGCAGAUGAAGAUAGCAAGUCUGAUAUAAAGUCUUGCUUUCUACUAUUUAUGAUCUUAAUUGCCAUAUUUUUUUUCACUUCAACCAUGGCUGAUGAGGUGACACUGUUGAAUUUCUGGGCAAGUAUGAGAACAGUGAACAGGACUUGAGCAACGGAAAGAGUGAUUUGCUUCUGCAGAUGAACCCAGUCUACAAGAAGAUUGCAGUUCUCGUCCACAGAGGGAAACCAGUUUGUGAAUCCCAUAUUAUUGUUCAGUAUAUUGAUGAUGUGUGGAGGGACAAGGCUCCUUUGCUGCCUUCUGAUCCUUAUGAAAGAGCUCAGUCCAUGUUCUUGGCUGAUUUUAUUGAUAAAAGGGUAUGGAGAUAUACCUUUAAUCUUGCUAAAUCUUUGGUCCCCCUUCGAUACAUGUAUCCAUGCCUGCGUGAGGACAAAUAUAUAUUCCUUUGCUACUGCUAUUUAUGUUACUGUAAUAUCAAUUAUGUGCUGUAAAAAUGAAUUCUCAGAUAUUAUUUCAAAAUAUUUUUAUUUACUUUUACGAUUUAUUACAACCACAUACACUCUGCAGAUGAAGAUAGCAAGUCUGAUAUAAAGUCUUGCUUCUGCAGAUGAACCCAGUAUACAAGAAGAUUCCAGUUCUCGUCCACAGAGGAAAACUAACCAGUUUGUGAAUCCCUUGUUAUUCUUCAGUACAUUGAUGAUGUGUAGAGGGACAAGGCUCCUUAAUUUGCUACCUUCUGAUCCUCAUGAAAGAGCUCGGUCCAUGUUCUGGGCUGCCUCGUGUGUUUCUGGUCUGAGAGGGCACUUAGCUGUGCCUGCCUCGUGCUUAUAGUCUGAGAGGGCACCUCGUCGUGCCUGACUUGGGAUGUGGUUUUCUCCCCGUAAAGUUGAACUUCAAGUCGGUGAUUAUGAUAUAAUAUGUAUUAAUUAAUGAAACUUGUGUCAAGAUCUGGUUGGCAGUGAACAACUUCCUGCAACUUUUGUUCUUUUUCUCCAAGCUCCAUUCAUGAUCACUGAUCAUCCUGCAAAGGAGCUGCAGGCUGUGACUAGGAAGUUUUGAGCAUCUGGUAUUGUGGCUGCGCAGCCACAAAUAUUGUUGUUUGGUAAUGGUCUAAAAACAAUUUUUUACUGGUAGGGUUUAUUAGCAACUCUAGCUAUGCUACAUAUUUACAAGAAGCAGUUUUUUAUUGUUUUUGUGCUGAGAAAACCCAUGAAUAAUGAAGUAUGGCUUUACUGUUCAUGGGUUUUCUUCAAUAAACAGUGGAGCAUGCCUUCACUGUUCCAGCUGGAUCAGUCCGAUUCAAAACUAAAAAUACAUUAUACUAGGUUUUGACCCAACAAAAUAAAAAAUAUUUUUUUUUAUUUUUAAUUAUAUUUUAUUUGAAAAAGUAGUGUUAAAUAUUAUUUAAUGACUCUACAUAAAUUAGACAGAGAUCGCUUGGUGACAUAUCAUUUGAAGAAUUUGAUCGCAAUUUCAAUUUUGUUCUUGAUUAUAUUUUACCUGAUGUUGUUGUGCUCUUAAGAAAUUUGUGAGAAUUAUAGUUCUUGUCGGAUGUAUUUCAUACGUGAUGGAAUUAUAGAUAGUUUAAUGAAAAAAUAAAAAAUAUUUUAUAUAAACUAUUAUUUAUUUCAUGAUGUAAUAACAAUAGUCAAAUCAACAAUAUUUAAAUUAAAAAUCAUUAAUAUUAAUAUAUAUUUUUUAAAAAUUAUUUUAUAACAUCAAUUUCAAAAGCAUUCUUAACCAAACACAUUAAACUAUUUUUUGUUCAACCUCAAUUUCAACUACAGUUUUAACCAAACAUAUAUUUUUCCAAACCAACUUCAACUAAAAGUACUUUUUAUAAAACAACUUUUUUCAAAUCACAAUAGUUACCGCAAUACCAAAUACACCCGAACUUCAAGGCACUGCAGGUAGGGCAGCCCUAUGGAGCAUAUCUGGAACGCGGUGCAAAUCAUGUUCUCUUAAAAUUUAAUUUUUAUUUUAUUUUUUUGCAUAAAAUAAAUUUGUUUUAAUUAAUGCAUGUUUUCAUAUUGUUUUGAUAUGUCGAUAUUAAAAAUAAUUUUUUAAAAAUAAAAAAUAUUAUAAUAAUAUAUUUCUAAUCGAAAAUCACUUUGAACCGUAUUGCUAUUAUAAUAAUAUAUAGACGCAUAGUUUUCUUCCGAAUUUCAUUUUCUUGUCGAGAAGCCAUUUCUACUUCGUAAAUGAAAUCUUUGAAUUUUAGCAAUCUAAUUCUUCCAGCAAAACUUGCAGGUUAUCAUCCAUGGAAAUUCUUUGCAUGAAAACUAGACAAAUUUAAUGUCUUUAGAUGUAAUUAAAUUCCUUAACUUUUUUUUAAUAAAAAAUGACGCAUGGCAAAAACAUUAAAGCUUGAGUAAAGAAUAUAAAGUAUAGUUCCAAUAAACAAAACGUACAACUCUCAAGGAGUGAAUUGUAAUUUAUCAUAUAUGCCUUCUAUCCAUUAUACAUGAUAUAUUAAUUAUACAAUAAACAUAAAAGAAAGCGUAAUUUCACGUUAUUGUUUACUCUAUUAUAUAUAUAUAUAUAUAUAUAAAAUAUAUAUAUUAUAUAUAUAUAUAUAUAUAUAUAUAUAGACACACACACACUAUUAUGGAAUGUUAUUAUGUAUAUAUAUCUAUCUUGUAUUUACCAUAUAUAGGUUUCUGAUCAUGUGUAGGAUACCACAUGGUUAGUAUCAUGUACAACCCUACAUCUAUAUAUAUAUAUAUAUAUAUUACAUAAGGGGAGUGCUGUAGAUAUUGAACACAACCUCCACAAUAUUCUCCAAUUCUCAUUCUCCUUUAACUUCAACUUGGUAUCAGAGCAUUAUACUGAAAAGUGUUUCCAUCGGCGCCUUCCUCUUCUUCUCAUGGAUUCUACAGCAGCACAAUCUUCUUCUCUUCUUACAGCAAACAUGUCAGCUGCAACAUCCUCUGUUCUCCCUGCUAAUUCUUCACAUAUGCAACCUACGUCAGGUUUUUCAACAGCUCCUCCACCUGGAUUUUUUGCGUCUGCACUUCCCUCUCUUGGAUGCAGCUUUCCUCUCACAAUGGCAACAAUACCUUCCUCUGCACCAAUUGUUUCGGUACUUCCUGGACUCCCCUCUGCAGCGUCAAUUAUUCCUAACACACAUCUUCAUGGUGCUGCCGUAGUCCCUCUCUCAAAUACUCAUUAAGUUAUCUCCUUGAAACUGACCACCAAUAACUAUUUAUACUGGAGAAUGCAAAUAAAACCAUAUUUGUUGGGUCAAGGUGUGUAUGCUUUUGUGGAUGGAUCCUAUCCUUGUCCUGCACUCUACGUUACUGCCACCGAUACAGCAGCUGCUGGUAUAAAUCCAUUCUUUCUCUCAUGAAAGCAGCAAGACCAAUUAAUUAUGAGUGCACUCCUCUCUUCUUUAUCUACUGAAAUUCUACAUCUUGUGGUUGACUGUGACACAUCUUAUAGCAUAUGGCAGACACUUGAAAAAUCCUUUGCUUCAUCGUCACAUUCAAGGAUUAUGCAGUUACAUGGUUCUUUGUUAAAAGAAUUGUCCGGUACCUUCAAGGCACGACAUCUUAUGGUCUACACAUCACUCAGGGGUCCUCUCUUUCCUUACAUGGUUUUACAGAUGCUGAUUGGGCUGGUAGUCUUGAUGACAGAAAAUCCACCAGUGGCUAUUUGGUAUAUCUUGGCAGCACACCUAUUUCUUGGAAGUCUGGCAAACAACGCACAGUGGCUCGUUCAUCGACUGAAGCAGAAUAUAAGGCUCUUGCGGAUGGUACUACUGAGAUUUUGUGGAUUCGAGCUCUGCUAUCAGAUCUUCAUUUUUCCUCUGAUCCUAUGACAAUCCUCUGGUGUGAUAAUUUGGGUGCUACCUACUUGUCUGUUAACCCUAUAUUUCAUGCUCGCACUAAGCAUGUUGAAGUCGAUUAUCACUUUGUUCGUGAUUGCUUUGCCAAAAAGGAAAUUGCGGUUCGGUUCAUCUUAUCACAGGAUCAACUUGUUGAUGUACUUACCAAACCUCUUCCUCACGCGUCCUUUACUUAUUUUCGGUCCAAGCUUCAUGUGGAUUCUCCUCCUUCAGCUUGAGGGGGCAUAUUAUGGAAUGUUAUUAUGUAUAUAUAUCUAUCUUGUAUUUACCAUAUAUAGAUUUCUGAUCAUGUGUAGGAUACCACAUGGUUAGUAUCAUGUACAACCCUACAUCUAUAUAUAUAUAUUACAUAAGGGGAGUGCUGUAGAUAUUGAGCACAGCCUCCACAAUAUUCUCCAAUUCUCAUUCUCCCUUAACUUCAACUCACACAUCUGUGUGUGUGCGCGCUCAAAAGGAAAAAGUUGGAAAGGAUUCUAAAAACAAAUACUUCAACUUUUGAAAUAAUCUUAAUAUAUUAUAAUUUUAAUGUAUAAUAAAAAAACAUUUUAAAAUAAUUUUUUGAAUUUUAUUGUUUACAAUGUAUAUAUUAAAAUUACAAAUAUUUUUUAAAACUAAUCUGAAUUAACUCCUCUAACUUUUGAGGUGCUGAACUCAGUUUGAUUUGAAUAACUGUGGUUGCAAUGCUUUUGGUCGUGAAUAUCUUUUCAUGCCAUGAAACAUUAUUCUAAAUAUAAAUAUUUUUGCUCACUUUUUUUAUUAUACCAUUGAUUAGCCAAUAGCUUAGCAACUUUUUCCACGAUUUAUCACAACCACAUACACUCUGCAGAUGAAGAUAGCAAGUCUGAUAUAAAGCCUUGCUUUCUACGAUUUAUGAUCUUAAUUGCCAUAUUUUUUUUCACUUCAACAAUGGCUGAUGAGGUGACACUGUUGAAUUUCUGGGCAAGUAUUCGUGCAGUGGACAGGACUUGAGCAACGGAAAGAGUGAUUUGCUUCUUCAGAUGAACCCAGUUUACAAGAAGAUUCCAGUUCUCGUCCACAGAGGAAAACUAACCUUCUGAUCCUCAUUAAAGAGCUCGGUCCAUGUUCUUGGCUGAUUUUAUUGAUAAAAAGGUAUGGACAUAUGCCUUUAAUCUUGCUAAAUCUCUGGCCCCCCUUCGAUUCAUGCAUCUAUGCUUGCGUGAGGACAAAUAUAUAUUCCUUUGCUACUGCUAUGUUACAGUAAUAUCAAUUAUGUGCUGUAAAAAUGAAUUCUCAGAUAUUAUUUCAAAAUAUUUUUAUUCUAUAUUCACAGCACUUCUUGUUAUUUUCCUUGUUGUUUCUGCAUCCCUCCUUUCAAGGAAGAAUCUAGCUAAUGAAUACUGGUGGAUAAUAACUUUACGUGAGUAAAUAUCCUUGAGGACAUUGUUUGUGCACACCCUUGAGUUUUGUGUUCUACUAUAUUCUGUUUAUUAUAUUUCCAACAUGAUUCUGUGAUAUUUUUGGCAUUUUACUUACUUUUACAUAAUUAGGACUACAUUUUUGUGAUGAAGUGCUGUGAAUCUUCAGGUAAAUGAUCUUUCUAGAAAGAUAUGGACAACAAAAGGAGAAGAACUGGAGGCGGCAAAGAAGGGUUUCUUUGAAUGCCUUGAGUGAUAUAUUGGAGGGUUUAUUUAUCCCAUGUAAAAGGAAUUAAACAAUGGCCAAACAAAUGAAAAUUGCAACUUUCAGUUUUUUUGUCAGAGUAAAAAGAACACAAGAUAUUAGUUUCAAAGCUUUAAUUUCAUGGGAAGCACAUUAAUUAUCAUAGGCUUCGUUAUGCUACACAGUGUUCAAGUACUGUUCUCCACCGACAAAUAGAGAAUUGAAAAUCUCCAUUUUACAUAUGCUUUAAUAAAACUAAGCCAAUCUCAAUUCCAACAACCCUUCCAUCUGCGUUCUCCUGCAUGGAUAUUGAUCCUGUCUUUGUCAAUGGAAGGAGCCCCCACCUUCCUCGACAUACCCCACCCAAAGAAACCGUAGCCAUAAAUUCUGCAAACUCUUCUUUGGAUACAUCAAGAACUCCUUUUUAAGUGUCAGAGUCUGAUGCACGGUCACCUCAAUGUUAGUGUUUGUUUACCGUCUAAAAAAGUUAAAAAUUAUAUUUACAGCUCACAAGUCAUAUGAAUACAUUACCAUCUACAACUUUCCAUGUUAUUUUUAAAAAUAUUUUCAUUGAUGUAUUAUUUUACUAAAUUUUAAUUUUUAUUGUGCUAGAGUCGGUAGUUGCGCUAAAGAACUAGACAUAUUUCCAAGGUAGACAAGAAUACGGUCGUUGACACGUGAAUAGUCAUUUCUCAAGAAAUUGACAAUAAUUUGAUGCAUUCAAGAAAAUGAUUGCAAGUUUAUUUCAAAAAAGUUUCGAGCCCGUAUUUGGUGGUUUACACAUUCGAGCUUCCCGUGACACCGACAUAUGGACCCAUGGCAAAAACAAAUCGUAUUUAAACUGACUUGAAAUUACCAAAGCUAUUCUUAGUUUUCUUCAUGCAAAACAUGAAAAAGUUUCAAAUCCAAGGACACAACCUCGAUUUGAUUUCCCAUUUGAUGAUAUCUCUGCAAAUUCAAAUAGCUUGAAAACAAAUUUUAUAUAUAGAAUAAUUGAUUAAUUUCAUGAUUUAGACAAUUUAAUUCAAUCUCUUUAACUAAGAUGGUUGGUAACUAGAAUCUAGUAUCUACCAAAAAAAUUUCUAAUGAAUUUAAGGAUUUUAUAAUGUUUAAAUAAAUAUUUUUUUUAAAAAAUACAAUAAUAUUUUAAAAAUAAACUUUAAAAAUAAAUAUAUUAUGAAGAACCUCCCAUUCUAAAAAUUUCAAUUGGUCUUUAAAACUCAUCACCUUCUUUGUCAAAGAGAAAAGAUUAAAGAAAAAUAUCCUUUACUUGAUCAUGGGAGAAAAUAAAAUUUUAUACACUUGAAUUAUGUGCUUGGCUGAGCCAGACAAGAUGAGUCUAACAUAUCAUUAGACUGAUACAUGAUUGGAAACAGUGUUUAGCUAAACCUAAAAGAACUGGGCCUAAUAGAUUGUCAUUCCCAAUAUCUAGGCUCAACACUUGACCGAGCUCAAGAGAAUUGAGUCUAUCAGACUUAUUAAAAGAUGGGUUUAACAGAUCACCAAAUUAUCAUACCCUUUAGUGGUAUUGUUUGACAUAUUUGACAAUAUUAGUCUACUAAAUUUAACCUUCUGAAAUAUUAUGUUUCCUAGCUCUAUUUGACUUGAAAAUUUACUACAAUAUAUUUUUAUAUAUCUAAUAUUUCCUUGUAAAAUUUUAGUUUUAUCCAAUAUACAGUUUCAAAAAUAUGUUUAAUCUCGCAAAACUAAUUAGCAGACAUUUUAAGAUCAAAUUUGAACAUGAGUUGAUUCAUAUCAUAAAUUUAAUAAACUCGUAAAAUCAGAUCAAGCUUAUUAAUUUUACUGAUUUUACAUGAGUUAAGUCCGAUUUAGCACGUUAAAACUCGCAACUCGUAAUUUUCCGGUUAUAAUUUCUCAUAUUUAUGAAUAAUUAUUUCAUUUUGUCAGGGGUAAUUAACUCUGAGAUUUCCUUGUCUAUUUUUCAGGAGUCAUUGACUGGUUGGUGUGAUGAGUUGAAGACAUAGAAAGGCACAAACAUGAAAAUGCGAUAUGGUAUCCAAUUGCCCACUGGGCACUAGCACAGUACAUUUUUCACUUAUUUAAUUCUGCCACAAUAAUUUUUUAAAAAAAUAAAUUUAAAUUUUAUUAAAAUCUAGUAUAAACACAGCACGAAACAAUGAUUUAGACAUCGUUUGGGAACAUGGUGUUAAUUACGUUUCACAACAAUUUAACUUUUUUAAAAAAAUUAAUUUUUUAUAUAUAUUUUUAAUCAUUUUGAUGCGUUAAUUUAAAAAUAAUUUUUAAAAAUUAAAAAAAAAACUAUUUUAAUAUAUUUCAGCAUAAAAAAUAUUUUUAAAAAUAAUAAUAACCAAACUCUCGAACAGAUCAAUUAGUAAAAUGUGAGUAUAUGUUAAUAGUAUACUCAAUAAAAAGCACACACUUUCCAAAAGGCCGAACAAGAAAUAACCAGCCCUCAAAAGUCUACUAAAAAAUUCUAUUCCUUUCUUUCUUUUUUCUUAUUUUUUUGGGUACUUCUCUGGAUCAACUUGGCUACUUAGCUAAUUCAAAUAGAAUGGAUUUGAUAUUGUUUUAUAAUCUUUGAUUAAUUAAACGGAUUUGACUUGAGAUUCGAAGACAAAACUGUGAAUUGUAAAUUCCCAGGAAAAUGACAAUAAUUUGAUGUUCAUAAGAAAAUGAUUGCAAGUUUUUUUUGGUUUUUGAAGUUUCGAGCCCAGAUUUGGUGGUUUCCACAUUCGAGCUUCCCAUGACACUGACAUAUGGAACCAUGGCAAAAACAAAUCGUAUAUAAAUUGACUUGAAAUUACCAAAGCUAUCGUUUGUUUUCUUCAGGCAAAAACUGAAAAGGUUUGUUGGCAAGAUUAUUGCUUAAUUUGAAUAAUAAUAAAAAACAUACUCUCGUUAUCAUAUAUUUUAUUUUCCCUACACAAUCCCCGUAAUAAAAUAUAUAUUGAUCGUACAUAAUAUGAAUUCCGGUGAUAAUUUCUCAAAUUUAUGAAUAAUUAUCUCAUUUUGGGCAGGGUAAUUAACUCUGAGAUUUCAGGAAUCAUUGACCGGUUGGUGUGAUGCAGUUGAAGACAUAGAAAGGAACAAACAUGAAAAUGCGUUAUGGUAUCCAAUUGCCCACUGGGCACUAGCACAGCACAUUUUCCACUUAUUUAUUUCCGCAACAUCUUUCUGCAAGGAUAGAUAUGCUAUAAAGAUUUCUACUCUCCACUGUCAAGAGCACAGCCAUUCUGAAACGCGAGAAAAAACUAUCUGUGAUUCAGUUUUACUCUUUUUCACAACAACAAUGGCUGAUGAGGUGACACUGCUGGAUUUCUGGGCAAGCCCCUUUGGCAUGAGAGUCAGAAUAGCACUGGCAGAGAAGGGAGUCAAGUAUGAGUACAGUGAACAGGACUCGAGGGACAAGAGUGCAUUGCUUCUGCAGAUGAACCCAGUCUACAAGAAGAUUCCAGUUCUCGUCCACAGAGAAAAAUUAACCAGUUUGUGAAUCCAUUAUUAUUCUUCAGUACAUUGAUGAUGUGUGGAGGGACAAGGCUCCUUAAUUUGCUACCUUCUGAUCCUCAUGAAAGAGCUCCGUCCAUGUUCUGGGCUGAUUUUAUUGAUAAAAAGGUAUGGACAUAUGGCCUUUAAUCUUGCUAAAUCUCUGGCCCCCCUUCGAUACAUGCAUCUAUGCUUGCGUGAGGACAAAUAUAUAUAUUCCUUUGCUACUGCUAUGUUACAGUAAUAUCAAUUAUAUGCUGUAAAAAUUGUUAGAAAUAAACCUUCUAUUAGUCUUGUUAGCAACAGAUGAGAUCAUGUUUAUCUCUCCUUUCUAUUAAGCUUUGUUAGUAACAGAUGAGAUCAUGUUUAUCUCAAGAUAAAGAUGUAUGUUUAGCUUGUUAUCUUGUAUUCUUAUCUUCUUAUCUCUUCUUUGAAAACUCAAAUCACUGUAUACUAUCUAUAAAUACAAUACAUACUUGGCUGAUAAUUUAUUCAGCUUUUCCGCACUUUAUUUUAGAAUUGUAACUUGGUAUAAGAGCAAACAAAGCUCACGCUCAUUUUUUUUUCUCUCUUUUCCCGAUCCAUUAUGGCCUCUUUCUCUGCAUCACCUUCAUUUGUCAUCCCUAAUAUCACCUCUUUAGUGUCUGUCAAACUUGAAGGACACAAUUACCUGAACUGGACAACUCAGUUCAUACCAGCCUUGAAAAGCCAUGACCUCCUGAGCAUUGUUGAUGGCUCUGAGGCUUGUCCUACUCAAUUCCUUGUUGACUCCACUAGCAAACUAACCUCUGAUAUUAAUCCAGCAUAUCUAGUUUGGCAAAAAAAGGAUCAAUUUAUUUUGGCAUGGUUAAAUGCCACACUAGAUGUAAGAAGGAGAGAAUUGUUCUAUUUGUAUAUUUCAUUCUGCAGUUACAGUGGUAUAUAUUACAUGAGAAAGGGAAGCACGAUCCUAUAUCUCAGCUAACAAUUGUUGAAUAUCUGCUAAUGAUUCCAAAGAUCAAGCCGAAAUAUAUAUGCUAAUAACUGUACAAUAAGCGAUGGAUGGGAAGUGAAUAUAUGCUAAUAACUGUACAAUAAUCCAUGGAUGGAAGGUGAAUAUAUGCUGUUAAUACUCCCCAUCAAGUUGGAGCAUGGAGAUCCAUAAUACCCAACUUGCGUGAUAAUGCUUGGAAAGCUUCACGGCCUAAAGCUUUUGUGAAGAUAUCUGCCAGCUGAUUGUGACUAGGGACGUGCUGGGUGGAGAUGAGGCCGACUUUGAGCUUUUCACGAAUAACAUGACAAUCAAUUUCUAUGUGCUUGGUACGUUCGUGAAAGACAUGAUUCUGAGCAAUAUGAAGAGCUGCUUGGUUGUCACAAUGUAAAAACAUAGGCUGGGAGUGGUAGACACCAAGAUCAUGUAAAAGUGUUUUGAGCCAUGUAAGUUCACAAGUGGUGGAAGCAAGAGCGCGGUAUUCGGCUUCAGCAGAUGAACGAGAGACCGUAUGUUGCUUCUUAGUGCGCCAGGAAAUAGGACUGGUCCAAGCUGAACAAAAAAACCAGUGGUGGAACGACGAGUGAGCGGGCAACUAGCCCAGUCCGAAUCUGAAUAAGCUGACACUUGAAGAGUGUUAAUAGAAGGGAAAUAUAAGUCUUGGCCUGGAGAAGCUUUGAGGUAACGAAGAACACGGACAACAACAUUAUAAUGUGAUUGUCGGGGUUGAUGCAUGAACUGACUUAGAAGGUUGACAGAGAACACAAUGUCAGGACGAGAGAUCAUGAGAUAUGUUGUAACCUAUUUUUGGGUCCCCAUAAAAAAUAAAAUAAAUAGCCAAAAGAGGUUAGGAAAAUAACAGGAGGCAGAAGCGCUCAGAAAACAGUCAGAAAAAUUGGUCAAGGAAUUUAAAAAUACAAGGAUUGAAUUUUUGACAGUAUAUUCUUGAAGGAUGAAAGCCCUAUUGAGAAGGAAAAUUUGAAUUUUAAAGGAGAAAAGCCCAAAUUUGGAUGUUUAUGGACUUAAUUGGAUUUUUAUUUGAAUUUAUAGAAGAUUUGAUUGCAAGAAAAAUUGAUUUUUAAGUCAAUUUGGGCUUUAAUUAGAAGAAAUUUAAGUUCUGGGGCCAAACUAUAUUUUUUUAGGAAUUUAUUAGGUCAAAUCAGGGGCUUAAUUGCAUAAAUAUUGAAGUUUAAUGGCCAAUUAGGGGCUUAAUUGUGAAAAUCCGAAACUAGGGACUAAUUUGGAGAAGGCGCAAAGAUAGAGGGGGCUGUUUGGAAUUGAUUCAGGGGCUUAAUUGAAGGAAUUGAAAGUUUAUUGAUCAAUUAGGGGCUUAAUUGUGAAAAUCAGAGGUCAAUGACCAAAGUGAAAACGCGGCCAACUAUAGGGGUAGGGACCGAAUUUGGCAGGGACGCAAUUGAAUUUUAUUCUUAAAAUCAGGACUCGAUUGAAGGACUUAAUAGAACAAAUGAUAAAUUAAGGACUGAUUCAAAAACAAAUGUUCUGGCGCCUUUUUUUUAAAAAUGAAACGGUGGGUUUUCUCCAAAACGACGCCGUUUCAUACAUAUAAAUUAAAAAAAAAAAAAAGACCGAACGGUGCCGUUUUGAACGACACUGUUCACCUUUCUUCUUCCCCUGAACAUGCAGCGGGGAAGAAGAAAAAAAGAAGUUUUUUUUUAUUUGUUGCAGGUCCCUCUUGCCACCAACCAACCGAGACCCCACGCCGGUGGGCCACCGACAGAAGACACUGGCCGACCACCCGCCGCGUUGCCGAAGCCGAGGGAGGCCCGCCUGGACAGCCGCUCCCCGAUAGCCGCUCCUUGGCUCCACGGUGAAGCCACGCCCACUGGCUCUAUAAAUAGCGCCCAACCCAGCACACCGAGGAGAACAAGAAGAAAAAGAAGAGGGAACCGAAGGGGGGAGAAAAGGACACACAAAGUCGGACGAAAACCAGCCAUUACUGCCCAGUUUUCCUGCAACCAACCUCUUUUUCUCUUUCCCUCUCCGCCGUUGGCCCUCAUCAACCACCACCAUCAUCACUCGUCUUCUCACCGACAUCUCCACCUCAAGAAGCCACCAAAACAUCACACACGGUGGUUGCAUCAUCUUCUCCCAAGACGUAGCAGCACCAUUGCAGAAAAGGCAGCAACCCGCGCCUCUGCUGCGAGAAGAAGAAGAACAAAGCCAUCACCGCCAGCUACCACUAUCUUCCUAGUCGACAACAGCACAGUUGGGAGCAUAAGGAGAAAAGGGAAGCAGAGGAGAACAUAGAUGAAGAGGAACGCAGAGAAGAAAAGGAAGAAAGGCUGAACACCGCACUCCACAAUCACCGACCACCAUCCAAGUCACUCCCCGGCCACCACUACCAGCGCCUCCACAAAGCUGCCAUAGAGAGGGAAGAACAUUGCUGACUAAAGGAAACCAAGAGAAGAAGCAACGCCUCUGUAAAGGGGAAGAAGAAGAGAAAACAACUGUUGUCAUCGAGCUUCCCAACCACUGCCACCGUCAGAACCACCGUGAGCCCCCAUUGGCUUCCUGUCCACCGCCACCAGCAUCACUGGGAGUGUUCGCCAUCGACUUCAGCAUCGUUUCUGCCACCAGGUUUGCACCCCCUUCGUCGCUGUGCAUGCACCAUUUCCUUGCAUUUCACUGUUCAAGUGAAAUAUAAUUCACUUGAACAGUGAAAUGCUAAUUCACUGUUCACAUCAAAUAUAAUUCACGUGAGUAGUGAAAUGCUACUUCACUGUUCACAUCAAAUAUAAUUCACGUGAACAGUGAAAUGCUAUUCACUGUUCGCAUGAGGCCUGCUGGGUGCAGCCCAGCCGCGUGGGCCCCGCCCAAAAAAAAUAUAUAAAAAAAAAUUCUUCAAAAAAAAAUAUUUCAAAGAAUUUGUGGUUUUUAUGUAAUUUUAUUACUGUAUUUUGGUCAAUAUCGGUUUGUAUCUUUAUAUUGUAAAGAUACAAAUCCGGUAUUAAAAUACCCGGUUUUCGUCAACAAAAAAAAUGUUUAUUUAAAAAAAAAUGUUUUGUUUUCAUGCAUACGACCAAUACUCUAACAUGUUUUGAAUGUUCUUUUUAUAUAAAAAAAAAUAUUGGAAGUUUUGAAAAUGUGUUUUCACAUGAAUUUCUUAAACACCACAAAAAUUAUUUUCUUGCAUUUCUGGAUUUUACAACAUGUUUGUAAAACUCCAAAGGGUAUUGGCCAAUAUUCCAAAAACUAUAAAAAUCUUAUUUUGGGGGAAUUCAUCUAUUAUUCACCGCUAAUGUUUGGAUAAAGAAAUCCUUAAAGGAUGAAUAUCCAAAAUAUUAUUGGGAGUAAUAAAUCCGCACACAUCCUUGAAAGAAGCCUUGAUUAUAAUCGAGGACAUUUCAAAACUUCAAUUUUUUUACUCCACGGUUUACGAGCCGUGAAAGUAUGAAAUACUAAGGCAAAAGGAGGCUUUUAAAGCGCUUUGAAUUUCCUUAGAUUUCUAAAAAAAAUUUGUCCCUCCUUCUUGCGAUUUACGAGUCGCAAACUCUUGAAAUACUAAGGGAAAAAUGAGCUUUCAAAGCACAUGGAAUCUCCUUGGAUUUCUAUCCAAAUAAAUUUUAUUUGAAUCAAACCUAGGAAAACUAAUGGGAUUAGAAAACACCAACACCAUAGCAAUUAUAGAGCAAACCAAACACCAAGCAACUUACCUUAGGUAGGGCGUACUAGGGGUGCUAAUACCUUCCCUUUACGCAACCAGUCCCUUGCCUUAGAAUCUCUGAAAGACUAGUUAGGGUUCCUAGUGACCAAAAUACUAGGUGGCAACUCUAAAGAACCAAAUCAAGCAAAAACAAAAGCAAAAAAAUCGCCAUCGAACGCCGCAUUCGGGAUUUUUUAGGGUGCAACAAGAUAUAUCAAACGACCAACAAGACGGCGAAAGGAACUGGGAUCAUAGAGCAAAUCACCAUCAUAAUUAUUGAGCUUGAGAUGUUGUUCCAUUGGAAAGGAAGAGGGACGUGCACCAAGGUGACCUCUAUCAGCAAGUAUGUCAAGGGCAUAUUUGCGUUGAGUGAGGAAGAUGCCACUGGGAGAGCGGGCAAUUUCAAGGCCAAGAAAAUAUUUGAGUUGGCCGAGGUCCUUAAGCUUAAAGCGUUGAGCAAGCAUGACUUUGAAGUUAUUGAUGUCAGCGAGAUCAUUUCCUGCCAAGAGAAUGUCAUCAACAUAAAUAAGGAUGAGAGUGAAAGACUGUCCUCGAUGGCGAGUGAAGAGAGAGUGAUCUGCUUGUGAUUGGGCGAAGCCUGCAGUAAGUAGAACAGAUGAUAAUUUAGAGAACCAAUUGCGAGAGGCUUACUUGAGGCCAUAGAGUGAUUUCUGAAGAUGACAAACAUGGGCAUCCGUCUGUUUGGAAUAGCCUGGUGGAGGAGUCAUAAAAACAUCUUCAUCAAGGUCGUCAUGGAGGAAUGCAUUGUGGACGUCCAACUAAAAAAGAUGCCAAUGACGAGUUGCAGCCACUGCAAAAACACAUCUAACGGUAACAAGUUUAGCAACAGGAGCAAAGGUGUCAUGAUAAUCCAAACCUUCUACCUGAGCAUAUCCCUUGGCCACUAAGCGAGCUUUGUGUCUUUCUAUGGAACCAUCAGCCCAAAAUUUUGUUUUGAACAACCACUUACAACCAAUUGGGGUUUUGCUAGAUGGAAGGGGUUGAAGGGUCCAAGUAUGGUUUGCUUCUAAGGCUUGUAUUUCAGCUGCUAUAGCAUCACGCCAGUGAGGGUGACGGGUAGCUUCAGAAUAGGAGGUGGGAUCAGGGUGAUGGGAGAGUGCAGAGAGGUAGGCGAGAUGUUUAGGAGUGAAACGUGUAUAAGACAGAAAAGAAGAGAGACAGUGAACCAUACCUGAGGAAGAGAGUGAAACCUGUGAAGCAGUGGAGGACCUUGGAAAAGAAGGGCAAAUAUAGUCAGCUAAGUAAGUGGGACGAGUGACAACUCGUUUUGGUUGUGUUGGAAGGGGUGGGGUGGGCUAUGUGGAUGACGGUUCCUAUAAGGAGGGAAGGGAAGAGGAGGUAGUAGGCGGUGCAGAAACAGUAUUAGAUGGAAGUUCAAGAAUAGGAAGGGAAAGAACCAGGGAAGGUGUGGGAUCUGAGGUCAUGAGAUGAUAAGGGAAAAUAUUUUCUUCAAAUGUAACAUCACGAGAUAUGAAAAAAAUUUUAUGUUCAAGAUCGUAGACACGAUAAGCCUUAUGAUGAAUAGGAUAGCCUAAGAAAACACAUCGUAGAGCACAAGGAGAAAAUUUAUCACGAUUUUUGCGUGGUUUGAGCAUAGCAUAAACACCCAAACACUUGUAAAUGUGAAUAUGAUGGUUGUUUUUGAAAAAGAAGUUCAUAGGGUGACUUAUGAUUAAGGCGGGAUGAAGGAGUGCGGUUAAUUAAAUAAGUGGCUGUGAGAAUGCAUUCACCCCAAAAAGAAAUGGGAAGAUUGGCUUGAAAACGUAAACACCGGGCCACAUUAAGAAGGUGACAAUGUUUACGUUCAGCAACGCCAUUUUGUUGAGGUGUAUCCACACAUGUGCGCUCGUGAAGGAUGCCAUGAUCGUGAAAUUUUUUUUGUAUGUUAUUAGAUAAAAACUCUUGUCCAUUAUCGGUGCGCACAUGCUUAAUGAUGCGAUUAAAUUGAUUUUUAACCAUUGCACAAAAAUUGGUAAGGCAAGUAAAAGUUUCUGAUUUCAUACGCAUGAGAUAAACCCAUGUAGUACGUGAGUAAUCAUCCACAAUGAUUAAAAAAUAGUGGGCACCUGAAUAUGAAGCUGUAGGAUAACCACCCCAUAUAUCACAAUAAAUCCGAUUAAAACAAAAGGUGCUCUUGUUUGUAUUCAAAACGAAAGGUAAACGAGUGUGUUUUGCUCUAGCACAAAUAUCACAAGGCAAAUGUGAUUUUGGAAAAUUUAAAGUUGUUGGAAUACUUGAAGGAGAAGGGUGACCGAGUUGUUGAUGCCAAAGGGUAGAGUCAGAAAUGCGUUGAGAAUGAAAAACAGAGGCAGCGAAAGGUUUGUAGUGGUAAAGUCCAUCCCGUACUUCACCCGUUCCAAUCAGCUUCCUCGUUGAUAGGUCCUGAAAAACACAAAAGUCAGAAAAAAAAAAUAGCGACACAAUUGAGAGUACUGGUGAGUUUGCUGAUAGACAAUAGAUUGAAUUUAAAUGAUUGUACGUAUAAAACAUUAGGAAGGGAAAUUGCUGGUGAAAUAUGCAAUGUGCCAGUAUGAGUGAUAGAGACAAUGUCACCAUUUGGAAGUGAAAUAGGACAUGGUUGAUUAAGAAGCUGAGUGUUAUCAAGGGAUGAAAGACUGGAAGUCAUGAUCUGAAGCUCCUAAAUCAAUAAUCCAUUCUCGGUUAGAAAAAGAAGCAGAGUGACAGGAGACAAGAUUACCAGCAAAGUUGGCAGAAUUGGUGUUCACAGGUGAUAAAAAUUCCAAGAGCCGAUUGUAUUGAUCACUUGUGAGGCCAGGGAUAGCAAUCUCAGUAGAGGUUGAAGAACUAGAUACAAUAUUUUCAGUCUUUGAGGAACCAGCUGGAGUGGGAGAACCAACGACAUUAUUUGCUGCCUUUGACGAACCAGAUAUUCUAUCAAGUGUUCCACGAGGUUGAGGUCUGUUGCUGGGAUAUCCAUUGAGCUUAUAACAGUGUGUUCUCCAGUGACCAUCACGGUCACAAUAGUCACAUUUUGGACGAUCACGCCCUCGCCCUUUACUGUCAAAACGACGAGAAGGAUGGCGAGGAGCCAUCAUAGCAGCAGACUCGGUUGGAAAAUUGGGAAAAUGAAGAAGACGUUGUUUCUCUUCUUGAUGCAGGGUUGAAUAUACCUUGUUAACAGGAGGUAAUGGAUCCAUAGCCAAAACUUGGCUACGAAUGGAGGCAUAUGAAUCAUGCAAACCCAUUAAAAAUUGAAAAACACGUUCAGUAUCUUGCAUGUGAUUCAGUUCUGUCAAGAUACCACAAGUGCAUUGUGGUGUGGGAGUGAGCAUGGCUAGCUCAUCCCAAUGACUUUUAAGUGUUGUAAAGUAUGCUGAGAUUGUCAUGGAGCCUUGAGUGAGAGUAGCAAUAUCAUGUUUCAGUUUGAAGAUCCUUGGAUUGUUGCUUUGAGAGAAUCGAUCCUCAAGAUCGAGCCAGACAUCACGGGGGCAAGCAUGAUAGAUUAAACUGCUAACAAUGGAUUUAUCAAUGGAAUUGAGAAUCCAUGAUAAGACCAUGUCACUGCAACGUUACCAUAACUGAAUAUCUACAACAGAAGACGUUGGCUUGGAAAGAGUACCAUUAACAAAAACCAAUUUGUUUUUGGCAUUCAAGGCCAUUUUCAUUGCCCUCUUCCAGGUAGGAUAAUUGUCACCAUUAAGGAGAGUGGAGACCAGAAUGACACCAGGAUGGUCAGCGAAAUGGAGGAAAUAUGGUGAGGAUAUGUCUUGAAUGGAUGGUGAUGUGAAAGAGGAGGCUGCCUGGGAUGUGGUAUUUGACGUGGCUGCAGGAAAAAACGUUGAAGAAUUUUGCUUAUAGAAAUAUGUAGAGAACUUGCUCUGAUACCAUGUAAGAAGGAGAGAAUUGUUCUACUUGUAUAUUUCAUUCUGUAGUUAUAGUGGUAUAUAUUACAUGAGAAAGGGAAGCACGAUCCUAUAUCUCAGCUAACAAUUGUUGAAUAUCUGCUAAUGAUUCCAAAGAUCAAGCCAAAAUAUAUAUGCUAAUAACUGUACAAUAAGUGAUGGAUGGAAAGUGAAUAUAUGCUAAUAAAUGUACAAUAGUCCAUGGAUGGAAGGUGAAUAUAUGUGUUAAUACUAGAUGAAAAAGUUUUCCACUGUGUAUGGACUCACUACAUCUACACAGGUUUGGAAUGCUCUUGCUACCAGAUUUGCUCCUCAAUCUUGUUCAAGAAUCAUCCAUCUCAAAAGACAACUCCAAACUCUGCAGCAAGGUAACAAAAGUUGCUCUGAUUAUUUGUUCACAGCAAAACAUUUGUCUGGCCAACUUUCAGCUGUAGCAAAACCAGUUGACAAUGAAGACCUUAUCUCAUAUAUUGUUGGUGGACUAAACCCAUCUUCACCACUUUUAUCACCUCCCUCAACUUUGCUACCCGAGACCAACCAAUCUCUUUUGAUGCUUUUCAAGCUGAACUGCUUAACCACGAGCAACUACUUGAAGCACAAAACAAAUCUCAGUCAUAUGAGAUUACUCAAGUGGCCUUUUUUACUCCUAAACACAAACAACCAAUAAGAAACCAAGAUUUCCCACUCAGAAAAAUCACCACCAUGGAUUUCCCACUCAGAAAAAUCCCCACCAUGCAAGAUCCAAUGCUAAUCCAAUCUUUUCUACCCCUGACUCUAAACCACAAUCCACUAGAGUUCCAAAACAAUUCCCUUCUUGUCAGAUCUGUGGACAGACAAAUCACCAGGCUCUUGAAUGUUAUCACCACAUGGAUUUUUCUUAUCAAGGUAGGCAUCCCCCUGCUCAGUUGGCAGCAAUGACAGCUCAUACUCAAGAGGAACAAGGAUUUGAACAUCCAUGGUACCUUGACAGUGGGGCUAAUAAUCACAUCACUUCUGAACUCCAGAAUUUAACCCUGCACCAACAACCGUAUCAUGGAAAUGACAAAGUAACAGUUGGCAAUGGAGGAGGUUUGCAUAUCACCAAUACUGGUUCCUCUGUGCUUGCUACACCUGAAUCACAAUUCCUUUUAACCAAUAUUCUUCAUUGUCCAUCUGCUUCGUCAAAUCUAUUAUCUAUUCAACGUUUUUGCUUUGACAACAACUGUUAUUUUAUACUCACAGCAACUCACUUCUUUGUGAAGGAUAUGCAGACCAAGGAAAUUCUCCUGCAAGGGCCGAGUAAAGCUGGUUUAUAUCCAAUGUUCUUGUAGCAACUUAAAUUCAACAAGUCAUCUCCCAAAGUUGCCAUGCUCUCUCCUUUUACUGCACUCCUAGGUGUUACUGCUCCCUUUCAAGUCUGGCAUUCACGGUUGGGUCACCCGUCAGACACCAUUAUUUAUAGUUUAGUGAAAAACUCAUUAAUACCUGUUUCUGGAUCAAAAAAAUCACAGACCUUGUGUGAGUCCUGUCAGGUAGCUAAGAGUCAUAAACUUCCUUUCUUUGAGUCCAAUAAUAGGUCUAGCCGUCCCCUUGAAUUGAUUCACUCGGAUGUAUGGACUUCUCCUAUCAUGUCAGUUGGUGGUUGCAAAUUCUAUGUCUUAUUUAUUGAUGAUUUUUCCAGAUUUACAUGGUUGUUCCCAUUGAAACAAAAAUCAGAGGUGUUUAGCUGCUUUGUUCGUUUUAAAAGCUUAGUUGAAAACCAAUUUUCAAGCACUAUCAAACAACUAUUAACUGACAAUGGUGGUGAGUAUUUAUCUACUGUUUUCCAGGAAUACCUCUCACAACAUGGUAUUCUUCAUAUACUCACAUCUCCUUACACUUCCGAACAAAAUGGAAUCUUUGAAAGAAAGCAUAGACAUAUCAUCACUACUGGUCUUACUCUUUUGGCUCAGUCACAUCUGCCUUUGAAUUAUUGGGUGGAUGCAUUCUUCACAGCUACUUACCUCAUAAACAGACUCCCUACACCUGUUUUGUCCAACAAAUCUCCAUACUUCACUCUAUUAAACAAAUAUCCAGACUACUCAUUACUCAAAACAUUCGGGUGCUUAUGUUUUCCCUUGCUUAGGUCGUAUAAUGCACAUAAACUUGCUUUUAGAAGUAAGAAAUGUGUAUUCCUUGGAUACAGCUCUAAUCAUAAAGGGUAUCGGUGUCUUGAUCCACAAACAAAUAGAGUCUAUAUAUCCAGACAUGUUGUCUUUGACGAGUUGAACUUCCCUGCUCAGGAUGCACUGAUUACAACCAGUAAUACUCAUCCCUUGCAGCACAAUUCUCCUCUGUCUUCAGAUUCCACACAAACAGUUAUUAUCUCCAACACUUGGUCUCUUGUUUCAGCCACUUUACCUAGUUUUUCUAUUCCUAACCCAUCCACUUCAGAUCAUGACUAUUUACCUACUCUUUCUACAACAACUUCACCCAAUAUCAACACACCUACUGAUCUAUCUAUUUCUGAAAUCCAUUAUGAACCUUCACAUGUUACUUCCCCUCCUCAUAUCAACACUACACCUAUACCUGACCCUAUAUCUCCAGAUUCUAAUCUUGAACCACACUCAGUUUCUGCCUCUCCUACUCAACAACCAGACCUCACCUCUACCCUGCCUCACUCAUCACAAAUUAUAACCAGGUCUCAGACAAACUCCUCCAAACCAAAGCAUUUUCCAGAAUAUCACCUUUAUCAUUCCACCAAGUAUCCCCUCCAAGCUCAUUUCACUAAUACUUUACCAUCUGAACCAACAACCUUUAAAAGAGCUGCACGGAACCAGGAUUGGGUGAAUGCAAUGACUGCAGAAUAUAAUGCAUUUCUUACUAACAACACUUGGUCACUUUGUCCGAGACCAAGACAUAAACAGGUUGUGAGAAAUAAAUGGGUUUUCAAGAUAAAACAACGAUUUGAUGGCUCUAUUGACAGGUAUAAGGCACGGUUGGUGGCAAAGGGAUUUGAUCAAGUUGAUGGCCUUAACUUUACGGAAACUUUUAGUCCAGUUAUUAAACCUGCUACUAUUCGGUUAGCCCUUACUUUGGCAGUUCAUUAUAAUUGGUCUAUUAGACAACUUGAUAUUUCUAAUGCUUUUCUCCAUGGGUAUCUUGAAGAGGAGGUUUAUAUGGAGCAACCUCAAGGUUUUGAAGACGUGAAUUUUCCUGAUCAUGUAUGCCUCUUGCAUAAAUCAAUAUAUGGCCUCAAACAGGCCCCUAGAACUUGGUUCUUAAGGCUAUCCCAGGCCCUGAUGGAACUUGGAUUCACUGCCUCAACUGUGGACACUUCUUUAUUUACUUUCCAUCAUAGCACCGUGUGUAUUUUUGUGCUCAUAUAUGUUGAUGACAUUAUUGUCACCAGUAAUAUUGAUACUGCCAUUGAUACUCUUAUCUCUAACCUCGACACUGAAUUUGUUGUCAAGGAUCUUGGGGAAUUGUCUUAUUUCUUAGGCAUUCAGGUAAUCUUGGGGAACUGUUGAUCUUCUACAUCGCAUGAAAAUGACUGGUGCUAAACCUGCACCAACACCAUGCAUAUCAGGUGCCAAACUCUCAAAAUUCUCAGGUGAUCCUCUUACUGAUCCUACUGAAUAUAGAAGUAUGGUGGGAGCUCUUCAAUAUUUGACAUUGACCAGACCUGAUAUAUCCUACAGUGUCAAUCAAUUAUGUCAAUUUCUUCAUUGUCCUACAAAUAUUCAUCUUACAGCUGCCAAAAGGGUUUUAAGAUAUCUAAAAGGUACUCAACAGUUUGGUCUUCAAUUUAACAAGGGGUCAUUUCAACUCAAUGGUUUUUGUGACUCUGACUGCGCUGGUAAUCCGGAUGAUAGGAAAUCUAUCUCAGGAUAUUGCAUUUAUCUAGGCUCAUGUCUGAUUUCUUGGACUGCUAAGAAACAAUCCGUGGUGGCAAGAUCAAGCACCGAAGCUAAAAAUCGAUCAAUGGCACACACAGUGGCUGAACUUUACUGGUUGAGAAUGUUACUCAAAGAACUUCAUAUAUCUCUACUUACAACACCUUGCAUUUGGGUUGACAAUAUUGGUGCUUUAGCAUUAUCUUCUAACCCUGUUUUUCAUGCUAGAACAAAACAUAUAAAGAUGGACUAUCAUUUUAUCCGUGAGAAGAUCUUUUAAAAAGAUAUACAAGCUAAAUAUAUCUCCACCUCUGCACAACCCUCAGACAUCUUCACUAAAGGACUCUCUUCAUCACGUUUCAUUUUUCUUAGAGACAAAUUGAUGGUUCAUGAUCUUCCCAUCAGCUUGAAGGAGGUUGUUAGAGAUAAACCUUCUGUUAGUCUUGUUAGCAACAGAUGAGAUCAUGUUUAUCUCUCCUUUCUGUUAAGCUUUGUUAGUAACAGAUGAGAUCAUGUUUAUCUCAAGAUAAAGAUGUAUGUUUAGCUUGUUAUCUUGUAUUCUUAUCUUCUUAUCUUUUCUUUGAAAACUCAAAUCACUGUAUACUAUCUAUAAAUACAAUACAUACUAGGCUGAUAAUUUAUUCAGCUUUUCCGCACUUUAUUUUAGAAUUGUAACUAAAAUGAAUUCUCAGAUAUUAUUUCAAAAUAUUUUUAUUUUAUAUUCACAGCACUUCUUGUUAUUUUCCUUGUUGGUUUUGCAUCCCAUGUAAAAGGAAUUAAACAAUGGCCACACAAAUGAAAAUUGCAACUGGAGUCUCCUCUGUACCGCCCGACAAUGCCAAGCUUUCUGGGCAGAAGCAGCUGUAAAGUCUAAGAACUUUUAGUUUUUUUGUCAGAGUAAAAAGAACACAAGAUAUUAGUUUCAAAGCUUUAAUUUCAUGGGAAGCACAUUAAUUAUCAUAGGCUUCGUUAUGCUACACAGUGUAAACUGUAAACUGUGCUUCGUGUGAAUUAAAAAAUAUAUUAGUUCUAAAGCUUUUUCAUGCGAAGAACCAUUUGCAUCACAGAAGCACUGCGCAGUACUGUUCUCCUCUAGCAAUCUGGUCUUGGUUUAAGAAAAGACCAUCAACAAAUAGAGAAUUGAAAAUCUGCAUUUUAUUUAUGCUUUAAUAAAACUAAGCCACUCUCAAUUCCAACCCUUCCAUCUGCAUUCUCCUGUCUUAUCAAUGGAAGGAGUCUCCACCUUCCUAGGCAUACCCCACCCAAAGAAACCGUAGCCAUAAACUCAGCAAGCUCUUCUUUGGCUUCAUCAAGAACAAUAAUUUGAUGUUCAGAAAUAUGUUGUUGACACGUGAAUAGUCGGUUCUCAAGAACAAUAUUUUGAUGUUCAAAAAUGAUUGCAAGUUUUUUUUUAUAAUACGUUUCGAGCCCAGCUUUGGUUGUUUCCACAUUCGAGCUUCCCGUGACUCUGACACAUGGACCCAUGGCAAAAACAAAUCGUGUAUAAAUUGUCUUGAAAUUACCAAAGCUAUCCUUAGUUUUCUCAAAUUUAUGAAUAAUUAUCUCAUUUUGUCAGGGGUAAUUAACUCUGAGAUUUCCUUGUCUAUUUUUCAGGAAUCAUUGACUGGAUGGCGUGAUUUAGUUGAAGACAUAGAAAGGAACAAACAUGAAACUGUGAUAUGGUAUCUAAUUGCCCCCUGGGCAGUACGAGCACAGCACAUUUUCCACUUGUUUAUUUCUACCACAUCUUUCUGCAAAGAUUGAUAUGCUAUAAAGAUUUCUACUCUCCACUGUCAAGAGCACAGCCAUUCUGAAAGGCGAGAAAAAACUAUCUGUGGUUCAGUUUUACUCCUUUUCACAACAAUGGCUGAUAAGGUGACACUAGCGCCGGAACAUUUUGCAGGCUCCCCUUUUGGUGUAAGAGUGAGAAUAGCAUUGGCAGAGAAGGGAGUCAAGUAUGAGUACUGUGAUGAGAACUCGAGGGACUAUAGUGCAUUGCUUCUUGAGAUGAACCCAGUCUGCAAGAAGCGCCCAAUUCUCAUCCACAAUGGAAAAGCAGUCUGUGAUUCCCUGAUUAUUGUUCAGUACGUUGACGAAGCAUGGAGGGAAAUGCCCCUCUUCUGCCUUCUGAUCCUUACCAGAGAGCCCAGUCCAGAAUCUGGGCAGAUUUUAUUGACAAGAAGGUACGUACGUAUGCAUGGGAACUGGACUUUGCAAGGUCUUUUGUUCUAGGUGCUGUUUAGUCCGCUUUACAAUAUACUGUGCUAUGAAUCUUAAUUUCAGGUGUAUGAGAUUACUAGGAAGAUAUGGACAACGAAAGGAGAAGAACUGGAGGGAGCAAAAAAGGAUUUUAUCGAGUGCCUCAAGCUGCUGGAAGGAGAGCUCGGAGACAAGCCUUAUUACGGCGGAGAGAAGCUUGGGUAUGUGGAUGUGGCGUUCGUUCCUUUCUACUGCUGGUUUUAUGCCUAUGAGAAAUGUGGAAACUUCAACAUAGAGAAAGAGUGCCCCAAGAUCAUUGCAUGGGCUAAGAGAUGCAUGCAAAAGGAGAGUGUAUCCAAGUCUCUUGAAGACCCCAAAAAGGUGUAUGAGUACGUCUUGGAGCGCAGGAAGACGCUUCGGGUGGAUUAAGAGGAAACACAAAUGCAUCCCUGAGCAGACGAUCAGUAUGAUUUCCUCAUGGUGGAGUUGUUUUUUUCUUUCGAAUAAAGCGAGCUCUUCGUGGCUGUGCCUUCUCUUCUGUUGUUCUAUUAUGAUGCUGGAGCAUAGGAGCACAUCGUUGUGACUCGGCCUGGCAGAGUUUGUGUUGUCUUCGGCUCUUUGGCCUGUCUUGUCGUACUGUUUUCACUAUUUAUUAAAAUAAUGUGUUGAGAUUAUUUUACUGGUAGAUGAUUAUGAUAUCUUUAGAACACGGUUGUUUCAUUAAAAAAAUUUAAAAAAAUUAUUUAAAAAAUUAUUCCUGGUUUUAUGCCUAUGAGACCAUCGGAAACUUCAACAUAUAUAGAGGCCGAGUGUCCGAAGCUGAUUGCUUACUGUAAGAGGUGCUUGCAGAAAGAGACUGUAUCCAAGGCCCUUGAAGAUCCACAAAAGGUCUAUGAUUUCGUUCUGAUGCUGAUGAAGACGUUUGGUCUUUAGUAGAAGAAGAAAGAACAACAUGCAGAGGCACGUGCCCUUUCCUGUUAAGAAGUUGUUCUUGUGUUCUGAGUGAUUUAUGUUUUAAAUAAGGAGGGCAGACAGUUAAUGUGCCUGCCUUGUGUUUCCAUGCAUACGUACGUACCCUAUUCGAAUGUGGAAACCACCAAAUCUGGGUUCCUCGUGCCUGACUUGGGAUUUGGUUUUCUCCCCCGUAAAGUUGAACUUCAAGUCGGUGAUUAUGAUAUAAUAUGUAUUAAUUAAUGAAACUUGUGUCAAGAUCUGGUUCGCAGUGAACAACUUCCUGCAACUUUUGUUCUUUUUCUCCAAGCUGCAUUCAUGAUCACUGAUCAUCCUGCAAAGGAGCUGCAGGCUGUGACUCAUCAGGCCUUGUGUAUUUUGGUCAAGGUCCAUUGACUUGGGCUACCUGCUAAUGCUGCACAUGCUAGGAAGUUUUGAGCAUCUGGUAUUGUGGCUGCGCAGCCACAAAUAUUGUUAUUUCAAAUAUUGUUGUUUGGUAAUGGUUUAAAAACAAUUUUUUACUGGUAGGGUCUAUUACCAACUCUGGAUAUGCUACAUGUUUAAGCAGCUUUUUGCUGUUUCUGUGCUGAGAAAACUCAUGAACAGUAGAGCAAGGUUUUGGUGUUCAUGGGUUUCUUCAAUAAACAGUGGAGCAUGCCUUUAUUGUUCCAGGUGGAUCAGUUCGAUUCAAAACUAAAAAUAUAUUAUACUAGGUUUUGACCCAAUAAAAUAAAAAAUAUAUUUUUAUUUAUUUUUAAUUGUGUUUUAUUUGAAAAACUAGUGUUGAAUAUUAUUCAAUGACUCUAUAUAAAUUAGACAGAGAUCGCUUGAUGACGUAGCAUUUGAAAAAUUUGAUCGUAAUUUCAAUUUUGUUCUUGAUUAUAUUUUACCUAAUAUUGUUGUGCUCUUAAAAAAUUUGUGAAAAUUAUAGUCCUUGUCGAAUGUAUUUCAUACGUGAUGGAAUUGUAGAUAGUUUAAUUGAAAAAUAUAAAAUAUUUUAUAUAAACUAUUAUUUAUUUCAUGAUAUAAUAACAAUAGUCAAAUCAACAAUAUUUAAAUUAAAAACCAUCAAUAUUAAUAUAUAUUUUUUUUAAAUUAUUUUAUAACAUCAAUUUCAAAAGCAGUCUUAACCAAACACAUUAAACUAUUUUUUGUUCAACCUCAAUUUCAACUACAGUUUUAAUCAAACAUAUAUUUUUUCAAACUAACCUCAACUAAAAGUACUUUUUAUAAAAACAACUUUUUUCAAACCACAACUACAACAAUUACCGCAAUACCAAACACACCCGAACUUCAAGGCACUGCAGGUAGGGCAACCCUAUGGAGCAUAUCAGGAACGCGGUGCAAAUCAUGUUCUCUUAAAAUUUAAUUUUUAUUUUAAUUUUUUGCAUAAAAUAAAUUUGUUUUAAUACAUGUUUUUAUAUUAUUUUGAUAUGUCGAUAUUAAAAAUUAAAAAAUAUUAUAAUAAUAUAUUUGUAACCGAAAAUCACUUUAAACCGUAUUGCUAUUAUAAUAAUAUAUAGACGCAUAGUUUUCUUCCGAAUCUCAUUUUCUUUUCGAGAAGCCAUUUCUACUUCGUAUAUGAAAUCUUUGAAUUUUAGCAAUCUAAUUCUUCCAGCAAAACUUGCAGGUUAUCAUCCAUGGAAAUUCUUUGCAUGAAAACUAGACAAAUUUAAUGUCUUUAGAUGUAAUUAAAUUCCUUAACUUUUUUUUUAAUAAAAAAUAGACGCAUGGCAAAAACAUUAAAGCUUGAGUAAAGAAUAUAAAGUAUAGUUCAUACUAUUUACUAAUAUCCUUGAUUAGCCUGUAGCUUAGCAACUUAUUCCACGAUUUAUCACAACCACAUACACUCUGCAGAUGAAGAUAGCAAGUCUGCUAUAAAGUCUUGCUUUCUACUAUUUAUGAUCUUAAUUGCCAUAUUUUUUUUCACUUCAACAAUGGCUGAUGAGGUGACACUGUUGAAUUUCUGGGCAAGUAUGAGUGUAGUGAACAGGACUUGAGCAACGGAAAGAGUGAUUUGCUUCUGCAGAUGAACCCAGUCUACAAGAAGAUUCCAGUUCUCGUCCGCAGAGGAAAACUAACCAGUUUGUGAAAAGGUAUGGACAUAUGCCUUUAAUCUUUCUAAAUCUCUAGCCCCCCUUCGAUACAUGCAUCUAUGCUUGCGUGAGGACAAAUAUAUAUAUAUAUAAAUUCCUUUGCUACUGCUAUGUUACAGUAAUAUCAAUUAUGUGCUGUAAAAAUGAAUUCCCAGAUAUUAUUUCAAGAUAUUUUUAUUCUAUAUUCACAGCACUUCUUGUUAUUUUCCUUGUUGUUUUUGCAUCCCAUGUAAAAGGAAUUAAAGAAUGGCCAAACAAAUGAAAAUUGCAACUGGAGUCUCCUCUGUACCACCCGACAAUGCCAAGCUUUCUGGGCAGAAGCAGCUGUAAAGUCUUACAACUUUUAUUUUUUUUGUCAGAGUAAAAAUAACACAACAUAUUAGUUUCAAAGCUUUAAUUUCAUGGGAAGCACAUUAAUUAUCAUAGGCUUCGUUAUGAUACACAGUGUUCUAGUACUGUUCUCCACCGACAAAUAGAGAAUUGAAAAUCUCCAUUUUAUUUAUGCUUUAAUAAAACUAAGCCACUCUCAAUUCCAACAACCCUUCCAUCUGCAUUCUCCUGCAUGGAUAUUGAUCCUGUCUUGUCAAUGGAAGGAGCUGUCCAUCCAAAGAAACCGUAGCCAUUAGGUGCCAUAAAGUCUGUAAACUCUUCUUUGGCUACAUCAAGAACUGCUUUUUAAGUAUCAGAGUCUGAUGCACGGUCACCUCAAUGUUAGUGUUUCUUUGCUUUGGGUAGCUUUUGUAGCCCAUUAUAGUAAUUAUUGAUGAUGUUUUCUAGUAUUGUUUUUUUUAUUAAUUUGUUUUUAAUAAUAAUAUUAAUAAUGUUAUUAUUAGAUAUUUGGUGUUUUUUUUGUUAUGUUCUUGUUUUUUUUUUCUUUUCUUUUUUAUUAAAAAUCAUGUCAGUCUUUUUUACUAUCUACAAAAGUUAAAAAUUAUAUUUACUGCUCACAAGUCAUGAAUACAUUACCAUGUACAAUUUUUUAAAAUAUUUUCAUUGAUGUAUUAAUUUACCAAACUUGAAGCCAUUAUAGCAGCAACGCACCUCAUCAACAGACUACCAUUAAGUAUUCUACAGUUUCAGACUCCAUUAAGUGUUCUUCAAGAUGCCAUAAAAUCACCUACUGUGUCGAAUCUACCACCAAAAGUCUUUGGUUGAACAACAUUUGUUCAUCUCCACAAGCCAUUAAGAAACAAGUUGGAACCUCGGGCACUCAAAUGUGUCUUUGUUGGUUAUGACAACAUAAAAAAGGUUACCAUUGUUAUCAUCCUCCAACCCAUAAACUAUAUGUUACUCUUGAUGUCAUAUUUUAUGAAGAUAAAAUGUAUUACUCCACUCCUGAAAUGAUCAGUGACGAGGACAACCAAGGUAACUUACAGGCUCCCAAAGACAACCCGUAUCACUUGGAUGUUAUAAAUGAAAAUUAUUACACCGAACCUCAGCCACAUGCUUCAAACGAAAUGAUACAACUAGAGCCGCAACCAUAAACUGAAGACCAAACAGAAGUAAGGCAAUCAGAACCUCAGCCAUCAGCUUUCCCCAUGCAUAAUGUGCCAACAAAUCAAGAGACCUUUGAGUAUGAAUCUAUGCACGAACCUCAGGUAAGUUUUGAAACUCAACUUAAAAUUCUACCCCAUAGAACUACACGAGGAAAACCCAGAAAUGACUAAGAACCACUCUUCACUUUUAAACUACAUUACUCUAUGAAUAAUUUUGUAUCCUAUCAUAGGCUGUCUAAGGAAAAUAAAAAUUUUAUGCAACAAUUAUCUGCUAUAUCUAUUUCUAAUAGUGUAUAGGAAGCUCUGAAAGAUCCUAAAUGGAAAGAAGCUAUGAAUGAAGAAAUGAGGUCUCUUCAGAAGAAUUCAACAUGGGAAGUGGUUGACUUACCCAUAGAAAAAUACCGGUUGGAUGCAGGUGGGUGUUUACCAUUAAACAUAAAAUAGAUGGUACCAUUGAAAGAUUUAAAGCAAGGCUGGUUGCCAAAGGAUAUACUCAAACUUACGGGAUUGAUUAUACAGAAACUUUUGCAUCAGUGGCUAAAAUCAAUACUGUACGGAUCCUAAUAUCCCUAGCUGUGAACCUUGAUGGCCCAUAUACCAAUUUGAUGUAAAAAAUACGUUCUUGCAUAGAGAUCUUCAAGAAAAAGUAUAUAUGGAAUUACCUCCUGGAUGUAUAUUGCAAACCCAAGGAAGCACACAUGUAUGCAGACUAAGGAAAUCCUUAUAUGGGUUGAAGCAAUCUCCUAGAGCAUGGUUUAGAAGAUUCACCAAAUUUAUGAAGUCUAUUGGAUACAAACAAAGCAACUCAGAUCAUACCCUUUUCUUAAAAGGAAAUAAAAAGGCAAUCACAACUCUCAUUAUAUACGUUGAUGAUAUGAUAGUUACGAGUAAUGAUCCUGAGGAAAAAGAGGCAUUACAAAUCCAUCUUGCUCAGGAAUUCAAAAUGAAGUCUCUUGGCAAUUUAAAAUACUUCCUUGGCAUUGAAGUAUCAAGAUCGAAAGAAAAAUAUUUAUGUCUCAACGAAAGGAUGCCUUGGAUUUACUAAAAGAAACAGGCAUGACAACAUGUAGCCCAAUCAGUACUCCUAUAGAAGAAAAUCUAAAACUCAGUAUACAUCCACAACAAAUCCCUACUAAUAAAGAGAGAUAUCAAAGACUAGUGGGGAGAUUAAUGUAUCUUGCAUAUACCAAACCUGACUUAGUGUAUGUUUUAAGUGUGAUCAAUCAAUUCAUGCACUCUCCAAGUGAAGAACACAUGAAGUUUGUUACUCGUGUCUUGAGGUACCUGAAAUCAUCUCCAGGUAAAGGAAUUUUGUUUAAGAAAGGAGAAAACUUAAAUAUUGAAGGGUACACCGACGCUGAUUGGGUUGGGUCAAUAGAGGAUCGACUAUCUACAUCCGGAUUUUUACAUUCAUAGAGGGAAAUUUGGUCACUUGGCGAAGUAAAAAACAAGAAGUAGUGGCUAGAUCAUCGGCCAAAGCCGAAUACAAGGGGAUGGCUAAGGCAAUUUGCAAGUUAUUAUGGAUCAGGAAUCUGAUGCAAGAAUUACUUGUUGAACAGACAAAUGCUAUGAAAUUAUAUUGUGAUAGUAAGGCGGCAUGUGAUAUCGCCCAUAACCCUGUCCAACAUGAUAGGACUAAACACGUUGAGGUGGAUACACAUUUUAUCAAAGAAAAAAUUAAAAGAAAAAUACUUCAUGUUCGAUCUUAAGAACAACUUGCCGAUGUGUUAACCAAGGCAGUGUCUAGCCAAAGUUUUAAUCAUUGUCUCAACAAGUUGGGCAUAUAUGAUAUCUAUGCACCAACUUUAGAAUAGGAAUUGUUUCCGUAAGGUUAAUGGAUAGAUUAAUUAAUAAUAUUAUGUACAUAAACUACCUCUGCUGUUAUAUAAAGAGGAUAGCCUUGUAACAUUAAUUUAAUGAAAUUGAAUAUACUGAAUAAAAGAUCAAUACUGAAUGCUAAAUUUAUCAGUUUCCACAUUCGAGCUUCCCAUGACACUGACAUAUGGAACCAUGGCAAAAACAAAUCGUAUGUAAAUUGACUUGAAAUUACCAAAGCUAUCCUUAGUUUUCUUCAGGCAAAAACUGAAAAAGUUUGUUGGCAAGAUUAUUGCUUACUUUGAAUAAUAAUAAUAAAAAAAUAUCACUUAAGAAAUACUCUCGUUAUCAUAUGUUUUAUUUUCCCUACACAAUCCCAUUAAUAAAAUAUAUAUUGAUCGUACAUAAUAUGAAUUCCAGUGAUAAUUUCUCAUAUUUAUGAAUAAUUAUCUCAUUUUGUCAGGGUAAUUAACUCUGAGAUUUCAGGAAUCAUUGACCGGUUGGUGUGAUGUAGUUGAAGACAUAGAAAGGAACAAACAUGAAAAUGCGUUAUGGUAUCCAAUUGCCCACUGGGCACUGCACAGCACAUUUUCCACUUAUUUAUUUCCGCAACAUCUUUCUGCAAAGAUAGAUAUGCUAUAAAGAUUCCUACUCUCCACUGUCAAGAGCACAGCCAUUCUGAAAGGCGAGAAAAAACUAUCUGUGAUUCAGUUUUACUCCUUUUCACAACAACAAUGGCUGAUGAGGUUACACUGCUGGAUUUCUGGUCAAGCCCUUUUGGUAUAAGAGUGAGAAUAGCAAUGGCAGAGAAGGGAGUCAAGUAUGAGUACAGUGAACAGGACUUGACGGACAAGAGUGCAUUGCUUCUUCAGAUGAACCCAGUCUACAAGAAGAUUCCAGUUCUCGUCCACAGAGAAAAAUUAACCAGUUUGUGAAUCCCUUAUUAUUCUUCAGUACAUUGAUGAUGUGUGGAGGGACAAGGCUCCUUAAUUUGCUACCUUCUGAUCCUCAUGAAAGAGCUCGGUCCAUGUUCUGGGCUGAUUUUAUUGAUAAAAAGGUAUGGAUAUAUACCUUUAAUCUUGCUAAAUCUUUGGUCCCCCUUCGAUACAUGCAUCCAUGCUUGCGUGAGGACAAAUAUAUUUUCCUUUGCUACUGCUAUGUUACAGUAAUAUCAAUUAUGUGCUGUAAAAAUGAAUUCCCAGAUAUUAUUUCAAGAUAUUUUUAUUCUAUAUUCACAGCACUUCUUGUUAUUUUCCUUGUUGUUUUUGCAUCCCAUGUAAAAGGAAUUAAACAAUGGCCACACAAAUGAAAAUUGCAACUGGAGUCUCCUCUGUACCGCCCGACAAUGCCAAGCUUCUGGGCAGAAGCAGCUGUAAAGUCUAAGAACUUCUAGUUUUUUUGUUAGAGUAAAAAGAACACAAGAUAUUAGUUUCAAAGCUUUAAUUUCAUGGGAAGCACAUUAAUUAUCAUAGGCUUCGUUAUGCUACACAGUGUAAACUGUAAACUGUGCUUCGUGUGAAUUAAAAAAUAUAUUAGUUCUAAAGCUUUUUCAUGCGAAGAACCAUUUGCAUCACAGAAGCACUGCGUAGUACUGUUCUCCACUAGCAAUCUGGUCUUGGUUUAAGAAAAGACCAUCAACAAAUAGAGAAUUGAAAAUCUGCAUUUUAUUUAUGCUUUAAUAAAACUAAGCCACUCUCAAUUCCAACCCUUCCAUCUGCAUUCUCCUGUCUUCUUAUCAAUGGAAGGAGUCUCCACCUUCCUAGGCAUACCCCACCCAAAGAAACCGUAGCCAUAAACUCUGCAAGCUCUUCUUUGGCUUCAUCAAGAACAAUAAUUUGAUGUUCACAAAUAUGUUGUUGACACGUGAAUAGUCAGUUCUCAAGAACAAUAAUUUGAUGUUCAAAAAUGAUUGCAAGUUUUUUUAAAAAAAACGUUUCGAGCCCAGAUUUGGUUGUUUCCACAUUCGAGCUUCCCGUGACUCUGACACAUGGACCCAUGGCAAAAACAAAUCGUGUAUAAAUUGACUUGAAAUUACCAAAGCUAUCCUUAGUUUUCUUUGGGCAAAACCUGAUAAAGUUUCAAAUCUAAGGACACAACCUCGAUUAGGUUUUCAUUUUCUCAAUUUGGUUUCCAAUAUAUCUAUAAAUUUUUAAUUUAAAUAAAUUCAAGUAGCUUGAAAACAAAAUUUAUAUAUAUAUUAAAUAAUUAAUUAAUUUUAUGAUGCUUAAAUAGUUGGUAGUUAGGAUCUAGUAUCCGCAAAAUGGUUUUUUAGUGAAUUAAUGAAUUUUUUUAUGCUUAAAUUAAAAAAAAUUACAAUGAUAUUUUAAAAAAAACCUCAAAAAAUAAAUAUCAAGUGGAGAACAAAGACUCAAAACCCCUAUUUUAAAAAUUUUAAUUAAUCUUUAUAACUCAUCGUCUUCUUUAUUAAAGAGAAAAAAUAUUUGAUUUGAUCAAAGAAAAAUAUCCUUGAUUUGAUUAGAGGAAAAAAAAUAUUUAUACACAUGGACUUUGCAUUUGGUUUAGCCUAAAAGAGUUGAGUUUAACAAAUAAUUAAACCAAUAUAUAAUUAAUUGGGUUCAAUGCUUGACAAAACUUGGAAGAAUUGGUACGAUAAAUUGUUAUACUCUUUUUAUUUAAGAAAGUAUCUCUUAAAUUGUGAACCCUAAAUAUAAGAAAAGGAAAUUAAGAAAGUAGAUGGUUUUUUAUAGGAAAGAGAAAUCACCAGUUUCAUGAAAUGAAUAUUAAAUAGUUUUAUUAACUAGAAAAUGAUGAAAGGAAUAUAUAAUUUAGAAUCCAUUGAUAUAUAUGGUGAAAAACUAAUUUAGAUAAGAAAUAGAUUGGAUAUCUAGUUAAGAUUUUUCAUAUAAGUUAGGGAUUUAAUUUUACAAGGUUUGCACUUUCCCUUAUAUAUGCUCUUAACCAAUUUACCAACAUAAUAAUUAUAAUUUCUUUUGAUAUAUAUUUUUGAACUAAAAGUAUAAAUAUAAUUAUUGCAUGCAUAUUCGAUAUCAAAUCAUCAACUACAUUUAUGUACCAGCUGGUAACCACAUUAAUAAUAUAAAUCCAUAUACGAGGGCUUAAUUAUUAAAAAAAAAAGAUUAAAGACAAUCCUACUCAAAGAUAGUUUGUUGGCAAGAUUAUUGCUUUAAAUAAUAAUAAUAAUAAUAAUAAUAAUAAUAAUAAUAAUAAUAAUAAUAAAAAUCACAUAAGAAAUACUCUCGUUAUCAUAUUUAUUUUAGUUUCCCAACACAAUCCCCUUAAUAAAAUUGAUCGUACAUAAUAUGAUUUCCGGUUAUAAUUUCUCAAAUUUAUGAAUAAUUAUCUCAUUUUGUCAGGGGUAAUUAACUCUGAGAUUUCCUUGUCUAUUUUUCAGGAAUCAUUGACUGGAUGGCGUGAUUUAGUUGAAGACAUAGAAAGGAACAAACAUGAAACUGUGAUAUGGUAUCUAAUUGCCCCCUGGGCAGUACGAGCACAACACAUUUUCCACUUGUUUAUUUCUACCACAUCUUUCUGCAAGGAUAGAUAUGCUAUAAAGAUUUCUACUCUCCAUUGUCAAGAGCACAGCCAUUCUGAAAGACGAGAAAAAACUAUCUGUGAUUCAGUUUUACUCCUUUUCACAACAACAAUGGCUGAUGAGGUGACACUAGCGCCGGAACCUUUUGCAGGCUCUCCUUUUGGUGUAAGAGUGAGAAUAGCAUUGGCAGAGAAGGGAGUCAAGUAUGAGUACAGUGAACAGAACUUGGGGGACAAGAGUGAAUCGCUUGUUGAGAUGAACCCAGUCUACAAGAAGCGCCCACUUCUCAUCCACAAUGGAAAAGCAGUCUGUGAGUCCCUGAUUAUUGUUCAGUAUGUUGACGAAGCAUGGAAGGGAAAGGCCCCUCUUCUGCCUUCCGAUCCUUACCAGAGAGCCCAGUCCAGAAUCUGGGCAGAUUUUAUUGACAAGAAGGUACGUACGUAUGCAUGGGAACUGCACUUUGCAAGGUCUUUAAUUUGUUCUAGGUGCUGUUUAGUCCGCUUUACAAUAUACUGUGCUAUGAAUCUUAAUGUCAGGUAUAUGAGAUUACUUGGAAGAUAUGGACAACGAAAGGAGAAGAACUGGAGGGAGCAAAAAAGGAUUUUAUCGAGUGCCUCAAGCUGCUGGAGGGAGAGCUCGGAGACAAGCCUUAUUACGGCGGAGAUAAGCUUGGGUAUAUGGAUGUGGCGUUCGUUCCUUUCUACUGCUGGUUUUAUGCCUAUGAGAAAUGUGGAAACUUCAACAUAGAGGCAGAGUGCCCCAAGAUCAUUGCAUGGGCUAAGAGAUGCAUGCAAAAGGAGAGUGUAUCCAAGUCUCUUGAAGACCCAAAAAAGGUGUACGAGUACGUCUUGGAGCGCAGGAAGAGGCUUGAGGAAACACAAAUGCAUCCGUGAGCAGACGAUCAGUAUGAUUUCCUCUGUUGUUUUUCUUUCGAAUAAAGCGAGCUCUUCGUGGCUGUGCCUUCUCUUCUGUUGUUCUAUUAUGAUGCUGGAGCAUAGGAGCACAUCGUUGUGACUCGGCCUGGCAGAGUUUGUGUUGUCUUCGGCUCUUUGGCCUGUCUUGUCGUACUGUUUUCACUAUUUAUUAAAAUAAUGUGUUGAGAUUAUUUUACUGGUAGAUGAUUAUGAUAUCUUUAGAACACGGUUGUUUCAUUAAAAAAUUUUAAAAAAAUUAUUUAAAAAAUUAUUCCUGGUUUUAUGCCUAUGAGACCAUCGGAAACUUCAACAUAUAUAGAGGCCGAGUGUCCGAAGCUGAUUGCUUACUGUAAGAGGUGCUUGCAGAAAGAGACUGUAUCCAAGGCCCUUGAAGAUCCACAAAAGGUCUAUGAUUUCGUUCUGAUGCUGAUGAAGACGUUUGGUCUUUAGUAGAAGAAGAAAGAACAACAUGCAGAGGCACGUGCCCUUUCCUGUUAAGAAGUUGUUCUUGUGUUCUGAGUGAUUUAUGUUUUAAAUAAGGAGGGCAGACAGUUAAUGUGCCUGCCUUGUGUUUCCAUGCAUACGUACGUACCCUAUUCGAAUGUGGAAACCACCAAAUCUGGGUUCCUCGUGCCUGACUUGGGAUUUGGUUUUCUCCCCGUAAAGUUGAACUUCAAGUCGGUGAUUAUGAUAUAAUAUGUAUUAAUUAAUGAAACUUGUGUCAAGAUCUGGUUGGCAGUGAACAACUUCCUGCAACUUUUGUUCUUUUUCUCCAAGCUGCAUUCAUGAUCACUGAUCAUCCUGCAAAGGAGCUGCAGGCUGUGACUAGGAAGUUUUGAGCAUCUGGUAUUGUGGCUGCGCAGCCACAAAUAUUGUUAUUUCAAAUAUUGUUGUUUGGUAAUGGUCUAAAAACAAUUUUUUACUGGUAGGGUCUAUUACCAACUCUGGAUAUGCUACAUGUUUAAGCAGCUUUUUGCUGUUUCUGUGCUGAGAAAACUCAUGAACAGUGGAGCAUGACUUUGCUGUUCAUGGAUUUUCUUCAAUAAACAGUGGAGCAUGUCUUCACUGUUCCAGCUGAAUCAGUUCGAUUCAAAACUAAAAAUAUAUUAUAUUAGGUUUUGACCCAACAAAAUAAAAAAAAAAAUAUUUUUUAUUUUUAAUUAUAUUUUAUUUGAAAAACUAGUGUUAAAUAUUAUUCAAUGACUCUACAUAAAUUAGACAGAGAUCACUUGAUGACGUAGUAUUUGAAGAAUUUGAUCGCAAUUUCAAUUUUCUUCCUGAUUAUAUUUUACCUAAUAUUGUUGUGCUCUUAAGAAAUUUGUGAAAAUUAUAGUCCUUGUCGAAUGUAUUUCAUACGUGAUGGAAUUGUAGAUAGUACUUUAAUUGAAAAAUAAAAAAUAUUUUAUAUAAACUAUUAUUUAUUUCAUGAUAUAAUAGCAAUAGUCAAAUCAACAAUAUUUAAAUUAAAAAUCAUCAAUAUUAAUAUAUAUUUUUUAAAAAUUAUUUUAUAACAUCAAUUUCAAAAGCAUUCUUAACCAAACACAUUAAACUAUUUUUUGUUCAACCUCAAUUUCAACUACAGUUUUAAUCAAACGUAUAUUUUUUCAAACUAACCUCAAUUAAAAGUACUUUUUAUAAAAAUAUAACUUUUUUCAAAACACAACCAAAACAAUUACCGCAAUACCAAACACACCCGAACUUCAAGGCACUGCAGGUAGGGCAACCCUAUGGAGCAUAUCUGGAAUGCGGUGCAAAUCAUGUUCUCUUAAAAUUUAAUUUUUAUUUUAAUUUUUUGCAUAAAAUAAAUUUGUUUUAAUACAUGUUUUUAUAUUAUUUUGAUAUGUCGAUAUUAAAAAAUAAAAAAUACUAUAAUAAUACAUUUCUAACCGAAAAUCACUUUAAACGGUACUGCUAUUAUAAUAAUAUAUAGACGCAUAGUUUUCUUCCGAAUCUCAUUUUCUUGUCGAGAAGCCAUUUCUACUUCGUAUAUGAAAUCUUUGAAUUUUGGCAAUCUAAUUCUUCCAGCAAAACUUGCAGGUUAUCAUCCAUGGAAAUUCUUUGCAUGAAAACUAGACAAAUUUAAUGUCUUUAGAUGUAAUUAAAUUCCUUAACUUUUUUUUUAAUAAAAAAUAGACGCAUGGCAAAAACAUUAAAGCUUGAGUAAAGAAUAUAAAGUAUAGUUCAUACUAUUUACUAAUAUCCUUGAUUAGCCUGUAGCUUAGCAACUUAUUCCACGAUUUAUCACAACCACAUACACUCUGCAGAUGAAGAUAGCAAGUCUGCUAUAAAGUCUUGCUUUCUACUAUUUAUGAUCUUAAUUGCCAUAUUUUUUUUCACUUCAACAAUGGCUGAUGAGGUGACACUGUUGAAUUUCUGGGCAAGUAUGAGUGUAGUGAACAGGACUUGAGCAACGGAAAGAGUGAUUUGCUUCUGCAGAUGAACCCAGUCUACAAGAAGAUUCCAGUUCUCGUCCGCAGAGGAAAACUAACCAGUUUGUGAAAAGGUAUGGACAUAUGCCUUUAAUCUUGCUAAAUCUCUAGCCCCCCUUCGAUACAUGCAUCUAUGCUUGCGUGAGGACAAAUAUAUAUAUAUAAAUUCCUUUGCUACUGCUAUGUUACAGUAAUAUCAAUUAUGUGCUGUAAAAAUGAAUUCCCAGAUAUUAUUUCAAGAUAUUUUUAUUCUAUAUUCACAGCACUUCUUGUUAUUUUCCUUGUUGUUUUUGCAUCCCAUGUAAAAGAAUUCAAGAAUGGCCAAACAAAUGAAAAUUGCAACUGGAGUCUCCUCUGUACCACCCGACAAUGCCAAGCUUUCUGGGCAGAAGCAGCUGUAAAGUCUAAGAACUUUUAGUUUUUUUGUCAGAGUAAAAAGAACACAAGAUAUUAGUUUCAAAGCUUUAAUUUCAUGAGAAGCACAUUAAUUAUCAUAGGCUUCGUUAUGCUACACAGUGUUCUAGUACUGUUCUCCACCGACAAAUAGAGAAUUGAAAAUCUCCAUUUUAUUUAUGCUUUAAUAAAACUAAGCCACUCUCAAUUCCAACAACCCUUCCAUCUGCAUUCUCCUGCAUGGAUAUUGAUCCUGUCUUGUCAAUGGAAGGAGCUGUCCAUCCAAAGAAACCGUAGCCAUUAGGUGCCAUAAAGUCUGUAAACUCUUCUUUGGCUACAUCAAGAACUGCUUUUUAAGUAUCAGAGUCUGAUGCACGGUCACCUCAAUGUUAGUGUUUCUUUGCUUUGGGUAGCUUUUGUAGUCCAUUAUAGUAAUUAUUGAUGAUGUUUUCUAGUAUUGUUUUUUUUAUUAAUUUGUUUUUAAUAAUAAUAUUAAUAAUGUUAUUAUUAGAUAUUUGGUGUUUUUUUUGUUAUGUUCUUGUUUUUUUUUUCUUUUCUUUUUUAUUAAAAAUCAUGUCAGUCUUUUUUACUAUCUACAAAAGUUAAAAAUUAUAUUUACUGCUCACAAGUCAUGAAUACAUUACCAUUUACAACUUUCCAUGUUAUUUUUUAAAAUGUUUUCAUUGAUGUAUUAAUUUACCAAACUUGAAGCCAUUAUAGCAGCAACAUACCUCAUCAACAGACUACCAUUAAGUAUUCUACAGUUUCAGACUUCAUUAAGUGUUCUUCAAGAUGCCAUAAAAUCACCUACUGUGUCGAAUCUACCACCAAAAGUCUUUGGUUGAACAACAUUUGUUCAUCUCCACAAGCCAUUAAAAAACAAGUUGGAACCUCGGGCACUCAAAUGUGUCUUUGUUGGUUAUGACAACAUAAAAAAGGUUACCAUUGUUAUCAUCCUCCAACCCAUAAACUAUAUGUUACUCUUGAUGUCAUAUUUUAUGAAGAUAAAAUGUAUUACUCCACUCUUGAAAUGAUCAGUGAUGAGGACAACCAAGGUAACUUACAGGCUCCCAAAGACAACCUGUAUCACUUGGAUGUUAUAAAUGAAAAUUAUUACACCGAACCUCAGCCACAUGCUUCAAACGAAAUGAUACAACUGAGCCGCAACCAUAAACUGAAGACCAAACAGAAGUAAGGCAAUCAGAACCUCAGCCAUCAGCUUUCCCAUGCAUAAUGUGCCAACAAAUCAAGAGACCUUUGAGUAUGAAUCUAUGCACGAACCUCAGGUAAGUUUUGAAACUCAACUUAAAAUUCUACCCCAUAGAACUACACGAGGAAAACCCAGAAAUGACUAAGAACCACUCUUCACUUUUAAACUACAUUACUCUAUGAAUAAUUUUGUAUCCUAUCAUAGGCUGUCUAAGGAAAAUAAAAAUUUUAUGCAACAAUUAUGCUAUAUCUAUUUCUAAUAGUGUACAGGAAGUCUGAAAGAUCCUAAAUGGAAAGAAGCUAUGAAUGAAGAAAUGAGGUCUCUUCAGAAGAAUUCAACAUGGGAAGUGGUUGACUUACCCAUAGAAAAAAUACCGGUUGGAUGGAGGUGGGUGUUUACCAUUAAACAUAAAAUGGAUGGUACCAUUGAAAGAUUUAAAGCAAGGCUGGUUGCCAAAGGAUAUACUCAAACUUACGGAUUGAUUAUACAGAAACUUUUGCAUCAGUGGCUAAAAUCAAUACUGUACGGAUCCUAAUAUCCUAGCUGUGAACCUUGACUGGCCCAUAUACCAAUUUGAUGUAAAAAAUAUGUUCUUGCAUAGAUCUUCAAGAAAAGUAUAUAUGGAAUUACCUCCUGGAUGUAUAUUGCAAACCCAAGGAAGCACACAUGUAUGCAGACUAAGGAAAUCCUUAUAUGGGUUGAAGCAAUCUCCUAGAGCAUGGUUUAGAAGAUUCACCAAAUUUAUGAAGUCUAUUGGAUACAAACAAAGCAACUCAGAUCAUACCCUUUUCUUAAAAGGAAUAAAAAGGCAAUCACAACUCUCAUUAUAUACGUUGAUGAUAUGAUAGUUACGAGUAAUGAUCCUGAGGAAAAAGAGGCAUUACAAAUCCAUCUUGCUCAGGAAUUCAAAAUGAAGUCUCUUGGCAAUUUAAAAUACUUCCUUGGCAUUGAAGUAUCAAGAUCGAAAGAAGAAUAUUUCUGUCUCAACGAAAGGAUGCCUUGGAUUUACUAAAGAAACAGCAUGACAGCAUGUAGCCCAAUCAGUACUCCUAUAGAAGAAAAUCUAAACUCAGUAUACAUCCACAACAAAUCCCUACAAUAAAGAGAGAUAUCAAAGACUAGUGGGGAGAUUAAUGUAUCUUGCAUAUACCAAACCUGACUUAGUGUAUGUUUUAAGUGUGAUCAGUCAAUUCAUGCACUCUCUAAGCGAAGAACACAUGAAGUUUGUUACUCGUGUCUUGAGGUACCUGAAAUCAUCUCCAGGUAAAGAAAUUUUGUUUAAGAAAGGAGAAAACUUAAAUAUUGAAGGGUACACCGACGCUGAUUGGGUUGGGUCAAUAGAGGAUCGACUAUCUACAUCCGGAUAUUUUACAUUCAUAGAGGGAAAUUUGGUCACUUGGCGAAGUAAAAAACAAGAAGUAGUGGCUAGAUCAUCGACCAAAGCCGAAUACAAGGGGAUGGCCAAGGCAAUUUGCAAGUUAUUAUGGAUCAGGAAUCUAAUGCAAGAAUUACCUGUUGAACAGACAAAUGCUAUGAAAUUAUAUUGUGAUAGUAAGGCGGCAUGUGAUAUCGCCCAUAACCCUGUCCAACAUGAUAGGACUAAACACGUUGAGGUGGAUACACAUUUUAUCAAAGAAAAAAUUAAAAGAAAAAUACUUCAUGUUCGAUUUUAAGAACAACUUGCCGAUGUGUUAACCAAGGCAGUGAAAAUUGCAAUUGGAGUCUCCUCUGUACCACCCGACAAUGCCAAGCUUUCUGGGCAGAAGCAGCUGUAGAUGGAACAAAGAAACCGUAGCCACAAACUCUGCAAACUCUUCUUUGGCUUCAUCAAGAACAAUAAUUUGAUGUUCAGAAAUAUGUUGUUGACACGUGAAUAGUCAGUUCUCAAGAACAAUAAUUUGAUGUUAAAAAAUUAUUGCAAGUUUUUUUUUAAAAAAAAAAAAAAAAACGUUUCGAGCCCAGAUUUGGUUGUUUCCACAUUCGAGCUUCCCGUGACACUGACACAUGGACCCAUGGCAAAAACAAAUCGUGUAUAAAUUGACUUCAAAUUACCAAAGCUAUCCUUAGUUUUCUUUAGGCAAAACCUGAUAAAGUUUCAGAUCUAAGGACACAACCUCGAUUAGGUUUCCAAAAUUUUCAUUUUCUCAAUUUGGUUUCCAAUAUAUCUAUAAAUUUUUAAUUUAAAUAAAUUCAAGUAGCUUGAAAACAAAAUUAAUUAUAUAUUAAAUAAUUAAUUAAUUUUAUUAUUUAAAUAAUCUAAUUCAUUCUCUCUAAUUAAGAUAGUUGAUAGUUAAGAUCUAGUAUCCGCAAAAAGUUUUUUUUAGUGAAUUAAUAAAAAAAUUUAUGCUUAAAUUAAAAAAAUAUACAAUGAUAUUUUAAGGAAAAUCUCAAAAAAUAAAUAUCUAGUGGAGAACAAAGACUCAAAACCCUUUCUUUGAAGAAUUUUAAUUGGUUUUUAUAACUCAUCAUCUUCUUUGUUAAAGAGAAAAAAUAUUUGACUUGAUCAAAGAAAAAUAUCCUCGAUAGGAAAAAAAUAUUUAUACACAUGGACUUUGCGUUUGGUUUAGCCUAGAAGAGUUGAGUUUAACAAAUCAUCGAACCAAUAUAUAAUUGGAUUCAACGCUUGACAAAGCUUGGAAGAACUGGUCUGAUAAAUUGUUAUACUCUUUUCAUUUAAAAAAAUAUCUCUUAAAUUGUGAACCCUAAAUAUAAGGAAAGGAAAUUAAGAAAGUAGAUGGUUUUUUUUAGGAAAGAGAAAUCACCAGUUUCAUGAAAUGAAUAUUACAUAGUCUUAUUAACUAGAAAAUGAUGAAAGACUAUAAUUUAGAAUCCAUUGAUAUAUAUAUAUAUAUAUAUAUAUAUAUGUUGAAAAACUAAUUUAGAUGAGAAAUAGAUUGGAUAUCUAAUUAAGAUUUUUCAUAUAAGUUAGGGAUUUAAUUUUACAAGGUUUGAACUUUCCCUUAUAUAUGCUCUUAACCAAUUUACCAACAUAAUAAUUUUAAUUUCUUUUGAUAUAUAUUUUUGAACUAAAAGUAUAAAUAUAAUUCUUGCAUGCAUAUUCGAUAUCAAAUCAUCAACUACAUGUAUGUACCAGCUGGUAACCACAUUAAUAAUAUAAAUCCAUAUACGAGGGACUUAAUUAUUAAAAAAAAAAGAUUAAAGACAAUCCUAAUCAAAGAUAGUUUGUCGGCAAGAUUAUUGCUUUAAAUAAUAAUAAAAUCACAUAAGAAAUACUCUCGUUAUCAUAUAUAUUUUAUUUUCCCAACACAAUCCCCUUAAUAAAAUUGAUCGUACAUAAUAUGAUUUCCGGUUAUAAUUUCUCAAAUUUAUGAAUAAUUAUCUCAUUUUGUCAGGGGUAAUUAACUCUGAGAUUUCCUUGUCUAUUUUUCAUGAAUCAUUGACUGGAUGGCGUGAUUUAGUUGAAGACAUAGAAAGGAACAAACAUGAAACUGUGAUAUGGUAUCUAAUUGCCCCCUGGGCAGUACGAGCACGGCACAUUUUCCACUUGUUUAUUUCUACCACAUCUUUCUGCAAGGAUAGAUAUGCUAUAAAGAUUUCUGCUCUCCACUAUCAAGAGCACAGCCAUUCUGAAACGCGAGAAAAAACUAUCUGUGAUUCAGUUUUACUCCUUUUCACAACAACAAUGGCUGAUGAGGUGACACUAGCGCCGGAACGUUUUGCAGGCUCCCCUCUUAGUGUAAGAGUGAGAAUAGCAUUGGCAGAGAAGGGAGUCAAGUACGAGUACAGUGAUGAGAACUCCAGGGACUAUAGUGCAUUGCUUCUUGAGAUGAACCCAGCCUGCAAGAAUCGCCCAAUUCUCAUCCACAAUGGAAAAGCAGUCUGUGAUUCCCUGAUUAUUGUUCAGUAUGUUGACGAAGCAUGGAAGGGAAAGGCCCCUCUUCUGCCUUCCGAUCCUUACCAGAGAGCCCAGUCCAGAUUCUGGGCAGAUUUUAUUGACAAGAAGGUACGUACGUAUGCAUGGGAACUGGACUCUGCAAAGGUCUUUUGUUCUAGGUGCUGUUUAGUUCGCUUUACAAUAUACUGUGCUAUGAAUCUUCAUUUCAGGUAUAUGAGAGUACUUGGAAGAUAUGGACAACGAAUGGAAAAGAACUGGAGGGAGCAAAAAAGGAUUUUAUCGAGUGCCUCAAGCUGCUGGAAAGAGAGCUCGGAGACAAGCCUUAUUACGGCGGAGAGAAGCUUGGGUAUGUGGAUGUGGCGUUCGUUCCUUUCUACUGCUGGUUUUAUGCCUAUGAGAAAUGUGGAAACUUCAGCAUAGAGAAAGAGUGCCCCAAGAUCAUUGCAUGGGCUAAGAGAUGCAUGCAAAAGAAGAGUGUAUCCAAGUCUCUUGAAGACCCAAAAAAGGUGUACGAGCACGUCUUGGAGCGCAGGAAGACGCUUCGGGUGGAUUAAGAGGAAACACAAAUGCAUCCCUGAGCAGACGAUCAGUAUGAUUUCCUCAUGGUGGAGUUGUUUUUCUUUCGAAUAAAGCGAGCUCUUCGUGGCUGUGCCUUCUCUUCUGUUGUUUCUAUUGUGAUGCUGGAGCAUAGGAGCACAUCGUUGUGACUCGGCCUGGCAGCGUUUGUGUUGUUUUCGGCUCUUUGCCCUGUCUUGUUGUACUGUUUUCACUAUUUAUUAAAAUAAUGUGUUGAGAUUAUUUUACUGGUAGAUGAUUAUGAUAUCUUUAGAACACGGUUGUUUCAUUAAAAAAAUUUUAAAAAAAUUAUUUAAAUUUUACUUUUUUAUAUUUUUAGAUUAUUUUAAUAUAUUAGUAUUAAAAAUAAUUUUUACAAAUUACUAUUAAUGUAUUUUUAAAUGCACUCUAUAACAAAAGAGAUGCCCUCUCAAGCAAUUCAACACCCCAUAAAUUUUUUUAAUAAAUAGGAAAGACAAAGGACAAGUACACAAUGGUAAUCAAUUACUAAUUCUAUCCAAUUAACUUUGCCUUUUCAAAUGAAAUUUUUUAAUUUUUUUAAGUUUUUAAUUAAUUUUUUAUGUUUAUAAAUUGUUUAAACAUACUAAUAUUAAAGAUAAAAUUUAAAUUAUAAAAUAAAAAUAUUAUUUAUAUAUUUUUAAAUAAAAAAUAUUUUUUAAAAUAAUAUUUAUCACAUGAGUAAUAGUUUCGACAACUUUCAGUGAGAUGUGAUAAUUGAGUUGAGAAUAUUAAUUAUAACUUGAUUAAAUAUAUUAUAUUUUUUAAUAUGUUUUUGUUCAUGUAAUUUUACUAGAAAUUUAGUUUUACUGCUCAGGUGUUGCUCUUCAUAAAUUUAAGAAUUUUUAAAUAUAAAGAUCAUCCAAUGAAAUAUCGUAAUUUUUAAAUAUUAAAAUUUUUAUUUACAUUAAUUUAGUAUGUUAAAUUAAUAUUUAAUUACUUUUUUAGUAUUGAAUUAUAUUGUAACAUUAUUAUAAAUCUAGAUUCGUGUUGAAAAUCUAAAAUUUUAAAUUUUUUAUGUAUGUUAUAAAAUCCUCUUAUAAAUUAGACAAACACAAAAUAAAACCUUAUUUUUAUCAUCUUUGUACUCUGGAUAACAAUCAUUAUCAAAUCAACUAGACGUAGCUUAAUUUAAGACAAGUUUUAAGGAGGGAGUUAGAGAUUUUUAUUUUUAUUUUUUCCUAGAGCCCAUUGAGGAUUGGAGGAUAAUUAGAGAUAAACUAGAUGCCAUGCCCUGUGUGAUGUUACGGGUUUGUGAUAUGUUUGUACGUUGUUAUGGGUUUGUGGAAAAAAUAAAAAAAUAUUAUAUGGAGAAAAACUAUUGCAAUCCACAAUGUUUUUAAAGAAAAAAUUACAAAGUUAAAUUCUUAACUAGAUUAAUAUUUAAAAAGUAAAAUGAACAAAGAAAUUUUUUUAAAAAAAUCAUAACAAAAAAAACCUAAAGGAAAAAAAAAUCAUGCAGGAAAAUGUUAUAGCAAUUUAUAGUGUUUUAUGAGAAAAUCUACAGUUGUAAUUCUCAACCAGCUCAAUAUUAAAAAUAAUAAAAUUGAUAAAGAUAUUUUUAAAAAAAAUCAUAAAAAAAAAAUUAUGUGGAGAAACAUUGUCGCAAUUCACAGUGGUUUAAAGAAAAAAAAAACUAUAAAGCUAAAUUCUUAACUAGCUCAAUGUGAAAAAAAUAAUUGACAAAGACAAUUCUGGAAAAAAAAAUCAUAAAAAAGAGAAAAAAAACCAUGUGUAGAAACACUAUAGCAAUCCUCGGUGUUGGGAAAUAAAGAAAAAAAGAAGCAUGUAAAGCCAAAAAUAGGGGAAAAAAGAAAAACUACAAAACUAAAAUUUUAACCAGUUUCAUAUUAAAAAAAUAAAAUCAAUAAAAACAAUUCUAAAAAGAAAACAUUAAAAAAAUGGAAAAGAAAAAAGAAAAAAAAUUUGGGAAAAAAAAGAAAAACAAAUGGAAAAAAAAACAUGUGGGGAAAUCUACAGUUGUAAUUAUCAACCAACUCAAUAUUAAAAACAAUUCGACAAAAAUAAUUUUGAAUAAAAACAUAUAGAAAACCUUGUAGAAAAACAAAAACUAUGCAGGGAAAUCAUGUAGAUAACUAUUGUAGUAAUUUAUAAUAUUUUAAAUUAAUAAAAAGAACUUUAAAACUAAAUUUUUAACUAAUUUAAUAUUAAAAAAAAUUGACAAAAAUAACUAUGGUUGAAUGCUUUUGGUCGUGAAUAUCUUUUCAUGCUCUGAAACAUUAUUCUAAAUAUAAUGUUUGCUUACUUUUUUAUUAAUAUCAUUGAUUAGCCUAUAGCUUAGUAACUUUUUCCACGAUUUAUAACAACCACAUACACUCCGCAGAUGAAGAUAGCAAGUCUGAUAUAAAGUCUUGCUUUCUACUAUUUAUGAUCAUAAUUGCCAUAUUUUUUUUCACUUCAACAAUGGCUGAUGAGGUGACACUGUUGAAUUUCUGGGCAAGUAUUAGUGCAGUGGACAGGACUUGAGCAACGGAAAGAGUGAUUUGCUUCUUCAGAUGAACCCAGUUUACAAGAAGAUUCCAGUUCUCGUCCACAGAGGAAAACUAAGCUUCUGAUCCUCAUGAAAGAGCUCGGUCCAUGUUCUUGGCUGAUUUUAUUGAUAAAAAGGUAUGGACAUAUGCCUUUAAUCUUGCUAAAUCUCGGGCCCCCCUUCGAUACAUGCAUCUAUGCUUGCGUGAGCACUUCUUGUUAUUUUCCUUCUUGUUUCUGCAUCCCUCCUUUCGAGGAAGAACCUAGCUGUUGAAUCCUGGUGGAUAAUAAUUUUAUGUGGGUAAAUAUAUUGUUUGUGUAUGUUAGAGAAUUAAUAUAAAUUAUAUUCUGGGAUUUUAUCUAAUAGUUUAAGUUAUUAAGUUGAGAUGAUUUUUUGACAUGAUAUUAGAGCCUUGAUGACCAAGUGGUCAUGAGUUUAAAUUUCACCAUCCUUAUUUUUUUGAUAAAAAUUAAGCACAAGAUAAUGUAGGUCUAUACAAGUUUCAAGCUCAAAAGGCUUUCACUUGAGGGGGUAUGUUAGAGAAUUAAUAUAAAUCAUAUCUUGGAACCUCACCUAACAAUUUAAGCUAUUGGGUUGAGAUGGUUCUUUAACAGUGAACAUCCUUAAGUUUUGUGUUCUACUAUAUUCUGUUUAUUAUAUUUCCAACAUUAUUCUGUAAUAUUUUUGGCAUUUUACUUACUUUUACAUAAUUAGGACUCCAUUUUUGUGAUGAAGUGCUGUGAAUCUUCAGGUAAAUGAUCUUCCUAGGAAGAUAUGGACAACAAAAGGAGAAGAACUGGAGGCGGCAAAGAAGGGUUUCUUUGAAUGCCUUGAGUGAUAUAUUGGAGGGUUUAUUUAUCCUAUGUAAAAGGAGUUAAACAAUGGCCAAACAAAUGAAAAUUGCAACUGGAGUCUCCUCUGUACCACCCGACAAUGGCCAAACAAAUGAAAAUUGCUGUUCUACUACUGUUCUCCACCGACAAAUAGAGAAUUGAAAAUCUCCAGUUUAUUUAUGCUUUAAUAAAACUAAGCCACUCUCAAUUCCAACAACCCUUCCAUCUGCAUUCUCCUGCAUGGAUAUUGAUCCUGUCUUUGUCAAUGGAAGGAGCUGUCCAUCCAAAGAAACCGUAGCCAUUAGGUGCCAUAAAGUCUGUAAACUCUUCUUUGGCUACAUCAAGAACUGCUUUUUAAGUAUCAGAGUCUGAUGUACGGUCACCUCAAUGUUAGUGUUUCUUUGCUUUGGGUAGCUUUUGUAGCCCAUUAUAGUAAUUAUUGAUGAUGUUUUCUAGUAUUGUUUUUUUUUAUUAAUUUUUUUUUAAUAAUAAUAUUAAUAAUGUUAUUAUUAGAUAUUUGGUGUUUUUUUGUUAAGUUCUUGUUUUUUUUUUUUAUUAAAAAUCAUGUCAGUCUUUUUUACUGUCUAAAAAAGUUAAAAAUUAUAUUUAUAGUUCACAAGUCAUGAAUACAUUACCAUCUACAACUUUCCAUGUUAUUUUUUAAAAUGUUUUCAUUGAUGUAUUAAUUUACUAAAUUUUAAUUUUUAUUGUGCUAGAGUCGGAAGAUGCUCUAAAGAACUAGACAUAUUUCCAGGGAUUCCAAGUUGAUUGAUUGAGAUCGCCAGAAGGGAUCUCGUAUUUCGCUAUUUGGAGGUCGUCAGAUGAGACCUCAUAUUUCAUGUUUGUUAAAAGGAAUCGCCAGAUGGGAUUCCAAGUUGAUUAAAGGAGAUCGCCAGAAGGGAUCUUGUAUUUCGCUAUUUGGAGGUCGCCAGAUGGGACCUCAUAUUUCAUAUUUGUUAAAAGGAAUCGCCAGAUGGGAUUCCAAGUUGAGUAAAGGAGAUCGCCAGAAGGGAUCUCGUAUGUCGAUAUUCAUCAAAGGAGGUCGCCAGAUGGGACCUCAUGUUUCAUGUUGGUUAAAAGGAAUUGCCAGAUGGGAUUCCAAGUUUGCUUUAAAGGAGAUCGCCAGAAGGGAUCUUAUUUUUCGAUAUUGGUCAAAAGAGGUCGCUAGAUGGGACGUCAUAUUUCAUUAUUUUUAAAAGGGAAUCGCCAGAUGGGAUUCCAAGUUGAGUAAGCUACAAUUAUAGAUUUUGGUUUAAGGAGGUCGCCAGGUGGGAUUCCAAGUUAAAAGAAAUCACUAGAAGGGGUCUCAGAUGGACUAAAGUUUGAUCAUAGUUUCGACCAGAUCAGUUUCGGGAGUUCAGUUUGGUUUAUCUUUAUAAAACUUACUGCGCAAAACCCCUGCUCCGUAAGCAUUAUAAAGAGGGGGCAUCUGUUGUAAUCCAUUUUCGGGUCCCCACAAAAAUAAAUAAAAAUAAAUAGCCAAAAAGAUCAAAAAAAUAAUAGCAGGCAGAAGCGCUCAGAAGAUGGUUGGAAAAAUUGGUCAAGGAAGUUUAAAAUAUAUAGAUCGGAUUUUUGGCAGUAUAUUCUUGUAUGAUGAGACCCCCGUUGGAAGAGAAAAUUUGAAUUUUUAGGAGAAAAGUCCAAAUUUAGAGGUUUAUGGAUUUAAUUGGAUUUUUAAUUGAAUUUAUAGAGGAUUUGAUUGCAAGAAAAUUGAUUUUUUAAGUCAAUUUGGGCUUUAAUUAGAAGAAAUUAAAGUCCUGGGGCCAAAUUAUAAUUUUUAGGAAUUUAUUAGGUCAAAUCAAGGGCUUAAUUGCAUAAAUAUUGAAGUUUAAUGGCCAAUUAGGGACUUAAUUGAGAAAAUCCGAAACCAGGGACCAAAUUGGAAGAGGAGCGUAAAUAGGGGGCUGUAUUGGAUUGAUCCGAGGGGCCUAAUUGAAUAAAUUAGAAGUUUAUUGAUCAAUUGAGGGUCAAAUUGCAUGAAUCAGAGACAAAGGACCAAAGUGGAAAAGGCGGCCAAAUAUGAGGGCGGCGAUUGAAUUUUUGAAGGAUGCAAUUGAAAUAAACAAAAGAUAAUUGAGGGCUGACUUGUAGAUUGACGCCUGUUGGAGCCCUUUUUGUCAUUUAAGUGAAACGGAGAGUUUUCUCCAAAACGACGUCGUUUCAUACAUUAAAAAAAAAAAAAAAGAGACCGAACGGUGCCGUUUUGAACGGCAUUGUUCCCCUUUCUCCUUCCCCUGGACAUGCAGCAGGGGAAGGUUAUCUUUUCUUCUUUCUUCAACCCCACACGCCAACGCCUGCCACCUCCCGAAACCCCACACACCGUCAUGCACCAAGGGAGUCGCGCCCUGCCAGCCACGCCCACUGCCCAGCCAACCCGGCGCUGUGGCAGGGCAGCCAGCCCUCCUCCCCAUGCACUACAAUAGGUUGGCAAUAGGGACGCGGAGGCGUCCCUAUUGCCCUAUAAAUUCCCCCCACAACGCUAGCGCAAGGAGGAAAAAAAAGAAAGAAAAACGAGGGGAACCGAGAGAGAGAGAGAUAGAUACAAAGAGAAGAGAGAGAACAAACGAGAGAGAGGGAAGAGAAGGAACAAAUGGAAAACAACAAAAGAAAAAAAACCAACCGAGAACAAAGAGAAAGGAAGGAACAGAGAGAACCACCGAAAACAAAAAAAAAAAGAGGAGAGGGGAAGAGGAAGAAAUCUCUCUCUCUCUGCCAUUUGAACAGCAGCACCGUUGUUUGGAGCCGCAACCCCGUGAGCCACAACACCGUCACCGGCCUCCACCGCAGCACCGCCAGCGACGCAGCCAGACCAGCAACGCACCACUUCCUCCACGCCAGGUAAAUUUUCUCCCCCCUUAAUUGUUUGCAUUUUCGUGUUCUUCUUUCCUGCAUGCAGAAUGCACGUUCUGCAUGCAGGAGGGGAGGGGGGAAAUAAUUCCCCCUCCCCUUGCUGUUAUGUCGCUGGGCCAGGUUGAUUCUGGCCCAGCAUUGUUUGGUUUCUUUCUCUGGGCCAGACUGGUUCUGCCCAGCCAUGUGUUUGUGGGCCAGAUUGAUUGUGGCCCAUCCUUGCUGUCUAGGCCAGGCCCGACCCAGACGAACAUAGGAGAUUUUGUUGGGUCGAUAUCGGCCCAAUCCGUUAUAGGCCAAGAUCGGCCCAAUACAUUUUUGGGAUGAGUCCGGCCCAGUAAGUUGGGUCGGCCCAGCCCACCUAAUAUUAUAUAUUAUUUAGUAUAAUGUGUUAUAUUAUUUAUAUAUAUAUAUAUAUAUCCCAAAAAAAAUUAAACAAAUUCUGAAAAAUCUUUAAAAAUAUUGUUGAUUUUUCUGCAUUUGUUUUAUCAAAUGGCUUAAUAUUGGUUUGUAUUUUUAUACCGUAAAGAUACAAAUCCAAUAUUAAAAUACCCGGUUUUCGUCAAAACAUAAGAAAAAUGAAAAAAUAAAAAAGGUUUUGCUUUCAAAAAUUCUGAAAAAUCCUUAAACAAUAUUGUUGACUUUCCUGCAUAUUUUUAACAAAGUGGCUUAAUAUUGGUUUGUAUUUUUAUACCGUAAAGAUACAAACCCAGUAUUAAAAUACCCGGUUUUCGUCAAGACAUCAAAAAAAAAUGUUUUUUUGUUUUAAUGCAUACGGCCUAGUCUCUCCAAAAUAAAAUAAAAAAAUCGUAGCAUCAUAUUUUCAUACAACAAAAAAAAUUUCAAAAAAAAUAUGUGUAUUAGCAUGCAUUUUGGCUUUAACAACAAAUUUGUUAGAACCACGAGAACUAGGCCAAUAUUUCAAAAAUUCUAAAAAAAUCUUUUAGUUUUCUUUUAGUAUUUGGGAUUACGAAUUUAUACGUAAAACGUAUUCCUAAUAUUAAAAAUAAUUUUUUUGUAUAGACAUUAGAACGGUUAGGAUUUUACCCGAUAAGAUAAGGACCUUCUUAUUGAGGAGGACUUUUUUUGAACCAUAUAUAGACCAACAAUUAGAAAUACAAUAACACCUUAGCUUUUAUCAGACAAUCAAACAAUGCAGCUUACCUUAGGUAAGACGUAUUUGGGGUGUUAAUACAUUCCAUUUACACAACCAGUCCCCGUACCCGAUCUCUGAGACCAGUUAGGGUUCCUAGUGACCAAAAUACUAGGUGGCGACUCCCAUUCCAUUCUCUACCAAUAAACGACAAGAAUUCCUUGUCUCCCCAUAUUUUUCAAAUAGAUAUAGAUUUACAUUGUAGAUUUAAAAUGGAAACAACAAUAUAUUUUCGUCGCGACGCCGCACACGUGCGACAGUCCUUAUUUUUAUAAUUUCUAUUUGUUUUUUCCUUAUCAUUUUCUUAUUAAAAAAUUUUAUCUAUCAAAUUUGGUCCUCAUUAUUUUGAUUGUUACUUAUUUUAUUUGAAAUAAUUUACAUCAAUAUUGAUUAUUAUUAUUUUAAUUUGUAAGAUUUGUUCCUCAUUAUUUUAAUAAACUUGAGAAAAAUAAAAUAUUAAUAAGUUAUUUUUCAGUUCAUUUUCCAUGACAUAACCAAACACUGGAAAGUGUUUUCCAACUUAUUUUCCAUUACAUUACCAAGCAACGGAAAAUUCUUUCUCGAAAUUCACUUUUCAAAAAAAAAUUAUUUUCCAGCAAACAAACGGGGCCUAAAUUGACUUGAAAUUAGCAAAGCUAUCCUUAGUUUUCUUCAUGCAAAACCUGAAAAAUUUUCAAAUCCAAGGACACAACCUCGAUUUGAUGUCCAAUUUGAUGAUAUCUCAGCAAAUUCAAAUAGCUUGAAAACAAAUUUUAUAUAUAUAGAAUAAUUGAUUAAUUUCAUGAUUUAGACAAUUUAAUUCAAUCUCUUUAACUAAGAUGGUAGUUAAUUAGGAUCUAAUAUCUACCAAAAAUCUUUUCUAAUGAAUUUGAGUAUUUUACGAUGUUUAAAUAAAUAUUUUUUAAAAAAUACAAUAAUAUGUUAAAAAUAAACUCUAAAAAUAAAUAUAUUAUGAAAAACCUCCCUUUCUAAAAAUUUCAAUUGAUCUUUAUAACUCAUCACCUUCUUUGUCAAAGAGAAAAGAUCAAAGAAAAAUAUCCUCUACUUGAUCAUAGGAGAAAAUAAAAUUUUACACACUUUAAUUAUGUGUUUGGCUGAGCCCAGACAAGUUGAGUCUAACAUAUCAUUAGACCCAUAUAUGAUUGAAAACAGCGUUUGGCUAAACCUAAAAGAAUUAAGUCUAACAGAUUGUCAUACCCAAUAUUUAGGCUCAACACUUGUCCGAGCCUAAGAGAAUUGAGUCUAUCAGACUUAUUAAAAUAUGGGUUUGACAGAUCACCAGGCUCGUAUAUAAUUAGACUUAGUGUUUAACCGAUUUUUAAUUUCACUAAAUAAAAAAUCAAAAUCAAAAUAAAAUAUAUUAGUCUAUCACAAUUAUAUCUUUUUGUUAGUUUCAAAUAACAAAAGUUGUUAAUUUACUACAAUUUCUUCAACCGCAUGAUAUUAUUGAUUAUAAAAAAAAUAUAAGAGUUUUAUAUUAUCGCUCAUCAUGUAAUGUAAGAUAACUAUUCAAAAAAAUACACUUUUCCUUUAAGGAAGUAUCUCUUAAAUUGUGAACCCUAAAUAACAAUAAUUUGAUGUUAAAAAAUGAUUGCAAGUUUUUUAAAAAAAAAAAACAAACGUUUCGACCCCAGAUUUGGUUGUUUCCACAUUCGAGCUUCCCGUGACACUGACACGUGGACCCAUGUCAUAAACAAAUCGUGUAUAAAUUGACUUGAAAUUACCAAAGCUAUCCUUGGUUUUCUUUAGGCAAAACCUGAAAAAGUUUCGAAUCUAAGGACACAACCUCGAUUAGGUUUCAAUAUUUUCAUUUUCUCAAUUUGGUUUCCAAUAUAUCUAUAAAUUAAUUUUUAAUUUGAUGACAUCUCAACAAAUUUAAGUAGCUUAAAAACAAAAUUUAUAUAUUAAAUAAUCGAUUAAUUUUAUUGUUUAGAUAAUUUAAUUCAUUUUAUCUAACUAAGAUAGAUGGUAGCUAGGAUCUAAUAUCUAUAAAAAGUUUUUUUAGUGAAUUUAUGAAUUUUUUUAUGUUUAAAUAAAUUUUUUAAAAAAAAUACAAUAAUAUUUUAAAAAAAAAUUCAAAAAAUAAAUAUACAGUGGAGAAUAGAGACUCAAAACCCUCUCUUCUAAGAAUUUUAAUUAGUCUUUAUAACUCAUCAUCUUUUUGUUAAAGAGAAAAAAUAUUUGACUAGAUUAAAGAAAAAUAUCCUCGAUUUGAUUAGAGGAAAAAAAAAUCUUUAUACAAAUGAAUUUUAUGUUUGGUUUAACCGGCUAUGUUUGUUUCCCGGAAAGUAGUUUCCGGGAAACCAUUUUCCAAACUUUCCUGUGUUUGUUUGCCAUUAGAAAAGUUGGUCAACGGAAAACACUUUCUGGUCAACCGAAAAACACUUUCCGGUCAACGGAAAAUAUUUCAGUCAAAGAAAAAUUUGGCUUGGUUUUCAGGAAAGUGUUUUCCUUUAGCUGUGUUUGUUUUCCGGAAAGUGAUUUCCGGGAAAUCACUUUCCAAAAUUUCUUGUGUUUGUUUGCCAUUAGAAAAGUUGGUCAACAGAAAACACUUUCCAGUAAAAGGAAAAUUUGGCUUGGUUUUCAGGAAAGUGUUUUCCUGAAAAAUUUGGACGGAAAACACUUUCCGGAAGUUGUGAAAAAAUUAGAAAUCUCAUUAUUUGCUGAUUAUAUCAAAUUUAAUCCUCAAACUUUUAAUUGCUAUAUAUAUUUUUUGUUUUGAAUAUUUAUUUUUCAAUUUCAUCUCUUAAAAUUUUAUUUUUAUAUUAACUUCGGUUCUUAUUUUUAUAAUUGUUAUUUGCUUUUUUCUUAUCAAUUUUUUAUUGAAAUUUUUUAUCUACCAAAUUUGGUCCUUAUUCUUUUGAUUGUUACUUAUUUUAUUUGAAAUAAUUUAUGAAAUAUUGAUUAUUAUUAUUUUAAUUUCUUCAUCUUUCAUUUUUUUUUAAUUUUUUAGAUUUGAUCUCUAUUAUUUUGAUCAUUAUUUAUUUUAUUUGAGAUAAUUUAUGAAAUUUUAUUUUUUUUCAAUUUCAUUCUCAUUUAACUUUUUAAUUUGUAAGAUUUGUUUUUCAUUAUUUUAAUAAACUUGGGAAAAAUAAAAUAUUAAUAAGUUAUUUUCCAGCUCAUUUUCCAUGACAUAACCAAACACUGGAAAGUGUUUUCCAACUUAUUUUUCAUUACACUACCAAAUAUCGAAAAAUACUUUCUCGGAAUUCACUUUCCAAAAGGAAACUACUUUCCAGCAAACAAACAGAAAGAAUUAAGUUUAACAAACCAUCAAAUCCAUAUAUAAUUAAGUUCAGUGCCUAACCAAACUUGGAAGAGCUAGUUUGAUAAAUUAUUUUAAGAAAGUAUCUCUUAAAUUAUCAACCCUAAAUAUAAUUACAAGAAAUUAAUAAAGUAAAUGUUUUUUUUUAUAGGAAAGAGAAAUCACUAUUUUCAUGAAAUGAAUAUUACAUAAUUUUAUUAACUAGAAAAUGAUGAAAGGAAUAUAUAAUUUAGAAUCCAUUGAUAUAUAUGUUGAAAAACUAAUUUAGAUGAGAAAUAGAUUGGAUAUCUAAUUAAGAUUUUUCAUAUAAGUUAGGGAUUUAAUUUUACAAGGUUUGCACUUUCCCUUAUAUAUAUGCUCUUAACCAAUUAAUUUACCAACAUAAUAAUUUUAAUUUCUUUUGAUAUAUAUUUUUGAACUAAAAGUAUAAAUAUAAUUCUUGCAUGCAUAUUCGAUAUCAAAUCAUCAACUACAUCUAUGUACCAGCUGGUAACCACAUUAAUAAUAUAAAUCCAUAUACGAGGGCUUAAUUAUUAAAAAAAAACAGAUUAAAGACAAUCCUAAUCAAAGAUAGUUUGUCGGCAAUCCCCUUAAUAAAAUAGAUCGUACAUAAUAUAAUUUCCGGUUAUAAUUUCUCAAAUUUAUGAAUAAGUAUCUCAUUUUGUCAGGGGUAAUUAACUCUGAGAUUUCCUUGUCUAUUUUUCAGGAAUCAUUGACUGGAUGGCGUGAUUUAGUUGAAGACAUAGAAAGGAACAAACAUGAAACUGUGAUAUGGUAUCUAAUUGCCCCCUGGGCAGUACGAGCACAGCACAUUUUCCACUUGUUUAUUUCUACCACAUCUUUCUGCAAGGAUAGAUAUGCUAUAAAGAUUUCUGCUCUCCAUUGUCAAGAGCACAGCCAUUCUGAAAGGCGAGAAAAAACUAUCUGUGAUUCAGUUUUACUCCUUUUCACAACAACAAUGGCUGAUGAGGUGAUACUAGCGCCGGAACAUUUUGAGAGUGAGAAUAGCAUUGGCAGAGAAGGGAGUCAAGUACGAGUACAGUGAUGAGAACUCGGGGGACAAGAGUGCAUCGCUUCUUGAGAUGAACCCAGUCUUCAAGAAGCGCCCACUUCUCAUCCACAAUGGAAGACCAGUCUGUGAGUCCCUGAUUAUUGUUCAGUAUGUUGACGAAGCAUGGAAGGGAAAGGCCCCUCUUCUGCCUUCGGAUCCUUACCAGAGAGCCCAGUCCAGAAUCUGGGCAGAUUUUAUUGACAAGAAGGUACGUACGUAUGCAUGGGAACUGGACUCUGCAAGGUCUUUUGUUCUAGGUGCUGUUUAGUCCGCUUUACAAUAUACUGUGCUAUGAAUCUUAAUGUCAGGUAUAUGAGAUUACUUGGAAGAUAUGGACAACGAAAGGAGAAGAACUGGAGUGAGCAAAAAAGGAUUUUAUCGAGUGCCUCAAGCUGCUGGAGGGAGAGCUCGGAGACAAGCCUUAUUACGGCGGAGAGAAGCUUGGGUAUGUGGAUGUGGCGUUCGUUCCUUUCUACUGCUGGUUUUAUGCCUAUGAGAAAUGUGGAAACUUCAACAUAGAGGCAGAGUGCCCCAAGAUCAUUGCAUGGGCUAAGAGAUGCAUGCAAAAGGAGAGUGUAUCCAAGUCUCUUGAAGACCCCAAAAAGGUGUAUGAGUACAUCUUGGAGCGCAGGAAGACGCUUCGGGUGGAUUAAGAGGAAACACAAAUGCAUCCCUGAGCAGACGAUCAGUAUGAUUUCCUCAUGGUGGAGUUGUUUUUUUCUUUCGAAUAAAGCGAGCUCUUCGUGGCUGUGCCUUCUCUUCUGUUGUUCUAUUAUGAUGCUGGAGCAUGGGAGCACAUCGUUGUGACUCGGCCUGGCAGAGUUUGUGUUGUCUUCGGCUCUUUGGCCUGUCUUGUCGUACUGUUUUCGCUAUUUAUUAAAAUAAUGUGUUGAGAUUAUUUACUGGUAGAUGAUUAUGAUAUCUUUAGAACACGGUUGUUUCAUUAAAAAAUUAUUUAAAAAAUUAUUCCUGGUUUUAUGCCUAUGAGACCAUCGGAAACUUCAACAUAGAGGCCGAGUGUCCGAAGCUGAUUGCUUACUGUAAGAGGUGCUUGCAGAAAGAGACUGUAUCCAAGGCUCUUGAAGAUCCACAAAAGGUCUAUGAUU